UGAUCAACGGUUCAACGGCCUAAUUAUAUAUCUCCAUAUAUAUAUAAAAAGGGACACUUUGGAUGCGGUCCCUAGCUAUCAAUAUUCUUUGAUUGAAAACUUGUUAGUUUUUAGUUUUUUAUUGAGGUCCCUGACAUUAAUGUAAUAAUGUAAGUUACUAUAUUUUUUAAAUUAAAAAUUAAAAAUUGAAAUUUGAAAUUUGUAAUUGUUUAUAUUAAUGAGAUUUUAAAUAAAACCCAUAAUUUAUGGGAUUAAAAAUAAUAAAAUAUAAAUUAUACUCUAUUAUAUUGUGUGUGUGUGUACAUAUAUGUAUGGGUACAUUAACCAAAAUUAACAAAAAAAGUUAUUGUACCAAAACAUGGAUACAUUCUCAGAUCAACGAAAAAGAAUGUAUCCAUAUAAGUUUAAACAUGGAUUAAAAAAUUUGAAUGGAUUUUAUAUUAAAAAAAAGGGUACAUUUUACAUAUAACAAAUUGAUAUAUUUGAGAAUGGGUACAUUUAAGAUUAAAAAAAUUGAAAAAUUAUAUGAAUGGGUACAUUUAAGAUUAAAAAAUUGAGAAUCUUUUUAUGUAUAAAAAAAAACUAAUAGGUACAAACUUAAUUUAAUUUAAUGUUUUAUUAUUUUGGAAAUGUUUGAAUUGAAAAUUAAUUAGAAGUUUAAUAGAGGUGUGAGUAUUAAACCCUAAAUUAAUUACUAAUUUUUAUAUUAAAAAAUUAUAUAAUAAACAUGUAAAUUCAUUAUCACAUUAUUGCUAGGGACUUGAAUCAAAAUUUAAGAACUAAUAAGGUCUUAGUCAAUGAACAGUAAGAACUAAGGAUCGGAUACUAAUUUUUUCUAUAUAAUAUUAAUAAGAAGAUCCAUGCAUCAUGCAUGAUAUAUUACUGCAAUGCAAGAGUGAGAUACGGUCUUUCUGUAUGUAAUUUUGACUUCAAGAAUUUUAGCUAUAGCACACCCCUUGUAUUGGUGUGGAUUAAGAUGAAAGAGCACCGACUUCGGUGGCAAUUAUCAGUAGCCACCAUGCAGCCACUGAAUAAGAAUCCAUGUCCUAUGUAAACAUCUUCAUUGUAACAAACGCCACUAUUUCUACAUCCGUGUAAAAAGGUAAUAGUACAAGUCUCAUUAUAUUCGAUCUUUUUAUUUAAAAUAGGAAGUUUAACGAAAAGUUCCUGGAAUUGUUUACUUUAACGAAAAAUCAUAUUUUUACACUAAAAAGUUAAUCAUGAUAUUAUUCACUUUACUAUUUAUUUUAUUUUUAUCAUUAAAACAAAAAGUUUUCAGACACUUUUUAUUAGUUUUCUUUUAUUUAUUUAUAAUUAAAAAUAGUAAGUAAAUCUUGUUAGAGAAAAUGUCCUUUUUGCAUCAGUGUCCAGAUAAGAUGAGAGAAAAUCGGUUACGGUGGUUUGGACAUGUGCAAAGAAGGCCUACUGACGCUCCGAUUAGAAGAUGCGACUAUGGGACAGAGGUUCAGGGCCGAAGGGGUAGAGGAAGACCUAGGAAAACUUUGGAAGAGACUCUAAGAAAAGACUUAGAGUACUUGGAUCUAACGAAGGACAUGACACAGGAUCGAGCACAAUGGCGUUCUAAGAUUCAUAUAGCCGAUCCCACUCAGUGACUUGGAUUUUCCAAGUCUCCAACCGAGAAGUUUUCCUCACUCGGGAAAUUAAGGGAACACUACCCCAACCUACAUGCUCCACUCAGAAAGCUUCAACAUACAAGCUUCAACAUACAAGCUUCAACAAAAGAAAAUUCAAAGAACUUAACGAAGAAGGCUUUGGUGUAUUUAACACAAUACGUUGAAAUGAAGGAAAGCUUAUUUAUUGAUAUUCCCGAUAAGCUACAAAUAUGUACAUAUACAUGAGUCAAAAUAAACACACAAGAGGAAGCCUUCACAAAGGUUGCUUAGGAGAAGUCUCAGCAGUCGGUAGAGCCCCAGAAAGAGAAGGCACCGGAGGGGGAUCAUUUGGAGCCUCAGUACUGGACAGAACCCUAGAAGGAGGAGGCAUCAGAGGUUGAUCAUUUGGAGCUUCAUUACGCGGUACAGCCCCAGAAGACGAAGGCAAUAAAUGCCUUUGGAACAAACCCACAAAUCUCUGAUGAUCAAGUAAAACCUGACCAUCAGUUUCCUUCAUCUGGUCAAGCUUCCUCUUCAUGUUUGUAGCAUAGUCAUGUGCGAGCCGGUGCAACUGUUUAUUCUCAUGCUUGAGCCCUCUAAUCUCAUGUUUGAGACUCAUCACUUCAGCCGCCAAUGAUUCAACUUGGCGGGUUCGAGCAAAUAGGCGUUGGGCCAUAUUAGACACAGAACCUGCACACUGAACACUGAGAGCCAGCGAAUCCUUAACAGCUAACUCAUCAGACCGUUUGGAAAGUAGUCUGUUAUCUUUGGGAGUGAGAAGGUUCCUGGCCACCACCGCAGCGGUCAUAUCAUUCUUCAUCACGGAAUCCCCAACGGUAAGAGGACCAGUAGGGGAGACGAAGGAUGGGCCCAUAUGUUGUCUGGAGAAGGCGGGGCUGCCUCUUCAACAAGGUUCAAGUCAAAACGACGGUCGGAGGGGCCAGACAUUUUCAAAGGUGUUGAAGAGAGAAGAGGUCGGACAAAUCAAGAUCUUAGAAGUGCAAGAAUGAAGCUUCUACUGGUGGAGAUUCAAGUGUGGUUUGGAACUUAAUGCCAGCCCCUAUAAAAAUCUGCACUCGACGGAGCUUCAGAAAUCGAAGAGGCGCCUGCUCAGAAAUCGAAGAGGCGUUUGCUUUCUCAAAAGUUGGGCUACUUAGAGAUCACGAGGGUUGAUCUCAGAAAUCGAAGAGGUGUUUGCUUUCUCAAAAGUUGGGCUGCUCAAAGACCACGAAGGCCGAUCUCAGAAAUCGAAGAGGCGCUCGCUUUCUCAAAAGCUGGGCUCCCCAGAGACCACGAGGGCCGAUCUCAGAAAUCGAAGAGGCACCUACUUUUUCCAACCUUGUCAGCACCUGUCACACGCACACUCAGCUUUACGGAAAUUAUGGGCAUUCUGUCAAAGACUUCUGGGGAAGUAGAAAACACAUGAAUCUUACUGUUCAAUCACCCAUUUCCCACACGCAACAAUAGCUCAUGGGUACCACAGAUAACUUUGCCAAAGUUCUCUCUGCCAAAGUUGAGCACGUGAAGCUUGCAGCUCCCACUACAUCGCUCUGACCAAGAAGGGUAAAAGAAUAGCAAAGAAACAGCACUAACAAAGUUUAGACCCAUAAAUUUUGAAGGUCUAGCUACCAUAUUAUUACCCACAAGGGUAAAGGAACAGUACCAUUGCUGGAUAAUUGGAAAGUCCCUGUGUGUCAACCUCUGUGCUUCGUGGCAAGGUAGACUAGCAAACAUGCCCAACCUUUACUCACAUUCGAGAAAACACUCCCAAUAAGAUUGCUUGCUCCAAAAUCAAAGAGGCACCGCUCUCCGAAUCUCGAGAGCCAGACUCCCAACAUGAUUACUUUCUCAAAAAUCGAAGAGACACUGCUCCCCGAAUCUCGAGAGCCAGACCCCCAGCAUGAUUGCUUUCUCAAAAAUCGAUGAGGCAUCGUUCUCCGAAUCAAUCGAAGAGGCGCUCGCUUUCUCAAAAGCUGGGCUGCUCAUAGACCACGAGGGCCGAUCUCAGAAAUGAAAGAGGCACCUACUUUUCUAGCCUUGUCAGCACCUGUCACACACACACUCAGCUUUGCAGAAAUUAUGGGCAUUCUGUCGAAGACUUCUGGUGAAGUAGAAAGCACAUGAAUCUUACUGUUCAAUCACUCACUUCCCACACGCAAUAAUAACUCAUGGGUACCACAGAUAACUUUGCCAAAGUUCUCUGCCAAAGUUGAGCACGUGAAGCUUGCAGCUCCCACUACAUCGCUCUGACCAAGAAAGGUAAAAGAAUAACAAAGAAACAGCACUAACAAAGUUUAGACACAUAAAUUUUGAAGGUCUAGCUACCAUAUUAUUACCCACAAGGCUAAAGGAACAAUACCACUGCUGGAUAAUUGGAAAGUCCCUGUGUGUCAACCUCUGUGCUUCGUGGCAAGGUAGACUAGCAAACAUGCCCAACCUUUACUCACAUUCGAGAAAACACUCCCAACAAGAUUGCUUGCUCCAAAAUCGAAGAGGCACCGUCCUCUGAAUCUAAAGAGCCAGACUCCCAACAUGACUACUUUCUCAAAAUCGAAGAGAGGGUAAAGGAACAGUACCAUUGCUGGAUAAUUGGAAAGUCCCUGUGUGUCAACCUUUGUGCUUCGUGGCAAGGUAGACUAGCAAACAUGCCCAACCUUUACUCACAUUCGAGACAACACUCCCAACAAGAUUGCUUGCUCCAAAAUCGAAGAGGCACCGCCCUCCGAAUCUCGAGAGCCAGACUCCCAACACAUGAUUACUUCCUCAAAAAUCGAAGAGACACUGCUCUCCGAAUCUCGAGAGUCAGACCCCCAGCAUGAUUGCUUUCUCAAAAAAUCGAAGAGGCAUUGUUCUCCGAAUCUCGAGAGCCAUAUACCACAGACCACUUUUUCAAAGUGCUCUGACAGAGUUAAAACAUGUGAAACUGGCAGCUCCCACUACUGUGCUAUGACCAAGCAGGGUAAAGGAAUAGCAUUACUACUUGUUGUUAGGGAGACUCCUAUAUAUGUCGACCUCCAUCCCCAACGGACAGGCAGACUUGCAAAAAUGCUCAACCCUUCAUCAUAUCUGAGAGGGCACUCCCAACGAAGCCUUUCGAAAUAUUCAGCUUUCUUUCCCCCCGAUAAUACCUCUGCAAACAAGUAUACUAGAGCAAGAAUAUCUCAUAUCAUCAGGGUUAAAAGCAAGAGUAUCCCAUAUCAUGCUUUUUCCCUGUCUUUUCUUUUGGCCUUGUUUUUACCUGCAAGACAAGGAGAAAGAGAGCAAUCAGUCAGCACUUGGAAUCAAGCUUCCAGCCAGGAACUGACUGCCUGGAACCCCUUACCUGAUUACUUACCUGGCAUUGCUCUCGAGUACUCAUCUUCAACAUCUUAUGUUUCCAGGGAAGAUUCCGCAUCUGCUUGAGGAACAGAUAGGGCAAGUGCGAAGGAUACAAGGAAGCAUGUGGAGACAAGCGUAACAGCACACGUGCCGAUACAUCCAUUACUCUGUCAAAAGCAAAAGUAUCCCAUAUCAGCAGGGUGGAACGUACUCUAGAUUUGAUGGACUUGUUUUGACCCUCAAAUUCUUCAGUCGGCCUUAUACUCUGGAGGAAACCAAAAAAACCCUCCAGCUCAGUUCAAGAAUAAGCCUGUGGAACGUUACUUCUUCAAAAGCAAAAGUAUCUCAUAUCAUCUCUUCUCAUUUUUCUUCUCUUUAUCCUUCAUGCUGCUGCAAGAUGGGGAGAAGGUGAACAAUCAGUCGGAGCUCUGAUUGCUUACCUUGUCUGUCACCUCUUUCAGCAGACCCCCUAGCUCGGCGACUUGGGGGACUCCUACUACAUGGUUUGUAUCGCGCUUGACCAAGCCUGAAAACUACAAGUAAGCUUCAAGUGAAAUUGAUACAUUUACCUUGUGCAUCUCCACCAGUUAAAGAUACCACCCCUGGAUGGAGGAAGAGUACUUCCAGAGAAGAUGCCACAUCUACCUAUGAGACAGAUAAGGCAAGUCAAGACGACACCACACUCCGAUACUUAGAAGUUUCGUGAUUACGAGAUCAUUCUCCCACAAUAUUUCCUAAUGUCAUUUGUACUAAAAUCAUUCACUUGUACUCACUAAAGGAGAGCUUGAACCUAUGUACUUGUGUAAACCCUUCACAAUUAAUGAGAACUCUUCUAUUCCGUGGACGUAGCCAAUCUGGGUGAACCACGUACAUCUUGUGUUUGUUUUCCUAUCUCUAUCCAUUUAUAUACUUAUCCACACUAAUGACCGGAGCAAUCUAGCGAAGAUCACAAAAAAGCGACCGUUUUUGCUACCUAGGAUCUAUCUUGCAAGAGAACGGAGAAUUAGAUGGAGAUCUCAACCAUAGAAUACGAGUUGGAUGGAAAGAGUGCAUCCGGCGUGUUGUGUGACCGUCGUAGGCCACUGAAGCUCAAGGGAAAAUUUUAUAGGACGGCAAUAAGGCCAGCGAUGUUGUAUGGCACAGAAUGUUGGGUGGUGAAGCAUCAACACGUACACAAAAUGGGUGUAGCGGAGAUGAGGAUGCUUCGUGGGAUGUGUGGGCACAUGAGAAAGGAUAAGAUUGGGAAUGAGGAUAUCCGAGGUAAAGUAGGAGUAGCCGAAAUUGUAGGAAAGAUGAGAGAAAAUCGGCUCCGGUGAUUUGGACAUGUGCAAAGAAGGCCGUCUGACGCUCCGGUUCGAAGAUGUGACUACGGGACAGAGGUUCAGGGCCGAAGGGGUAGAGGAAGACCUAGGAAAACUUUGGAAGAGACUCUAAGAAAAGACUUAGAGUACUUGGAUCUAACGGAGGACAUGACACAAAAUCGAGCGCAAUGGCGUUCUAGGAUUCAUAUAGCCGACCCCACUUAGUGGGAAAAGGCUUUGUUGUUGUUGUUGUUGUUGUUGUCCAGAUUGCUUUUUAUUUAUUUUUUUAUUUUUUAUUUUUUAUUUUUUAAGACGGGAGUAGGAUUAUCCUCAUCUAUUCUUAUCCCUUUCCCUCCUUUCCUUUCAUAUAUUAUUUUUUGUCAUAUUAUUUUUAUAAAAAAAUUAAUAUAAGAUAUUGACGUGAUUAUACCAUAACCGUUCAAAUAGAAGAGAAGAGAAAGAGAUUAAGAGGGAAGAGAAUCCUCCUCUUUCAAAAGGGCACCCACUGAGCACCCAUUGCAUUGUCUAAUCCCAUUAUUAAUGUCAAUGGCUUUUGAUAAAAUUAAUAUUUUUGCAAUUAAGUCCUCCAAGACAAACUUGCAAUCAAGUCCUACAAUUUCAAAGCGGACAAGGAUUGUCUGCCCUCCCUUUUUUCCAUGCCAUUCCAUGCCCUCCUGUUUAUGUGGUCACGGUUAAGUCACGUCAACAUUUUAUAUUACUAUUCAUUUUUAUCUUAUUAUCUUUAUAAAAAAAAUAAUAUAAAAUGUUAACAUGGCUUAACUGUGACCACACAAAACAGGAGGGCAUGGAAGGACAUGGAAAAUAGGAGGGCAGACAAUCCUUGUCCUUUCAAAGCAUACUUCCAUCCAUACCUGGGCAAAAUUAUAAAUUAAAAAUAAUAAAAACUUGAAAGAUAAUAUCACAUAAUCAUACUAAAUUUAAAAUAGUAUAAAAACAACUAAAACUAAUUAAAAUCUACCUUCAUAAGAACUUCAUAGUUCAUAUCUGAAUAAAUCACUUAAGAUCUGAUUGUUAAAUCAUCUUCUGCACUUCUUUCUUUCCAUCAAAAAAGUUAACAACGCAAAAAAACCACAAAUAAACAUCAUAAUUUACUUAAAAGAGCAGCGAAAAUUAAGUUUUUAGUCAGAAUGAAAAAAAAAAAGAAAAAUGAUUAUAGCGAAAACAGAAUAGUUAUGCCUAUCCGUGCAUCCUCCUCAAUGCCAAACCUUUUUGUACUCAACACUUUUCACUGUAGAACAACAAACUAUCGUAUGAAUUAACAAAUAAUUGCAUGCAGAGGAGACCCAAGCGAGAUUUGAAAACAUACAUUCAGAUCUUAGAAGAUAUGAACUCAAAGUGGGAAAAAACUCGGACCUGAUUUGAAAUUGAGGAAAAGGAAAGAGCUCUCACAAGUGGAGAGAGGAGCUCUCACAAACGGGAGAGAAAAACUCUCACCAACUCCUCUGCAAUCCAAAAUAAAACAAAGGGGAGAGAGAACUUUAUCUCUGAAGGAAAAACACAAGAGAAAGAGGAAAUCACGAAGAGAGAUGUGACAGUGAAAACAAAGAGAGAGAAGAAAGUAAAAGAAAGAGAGAGAGGGGGAAAAACAAAGGAGAAAAAGGAAAAUGAAGAGGGAGAGUUAGCUCAUUAGAUUUGGGCACAAUAUAAUAACAAUUAAAAAACUUAAUAAUUAUUAUUUUGACAUUAAAAGAAUCUAAUAAUUAUUAUUUGAGAACUUUAACGAAAAACUCAUGGUACUGUUCACUUUAACGAAAAACCACAUUUUUACACUAAAAAGUCAAUUUUGGUACUAUUCACUUUACUCUUUAUUUUGUCAUUUUCGUUAAAACUCAAAGUUUUCAAGCCAUUGUCAUUAGUUUUCCUUUAUUAUUUUGCAUGUAUAAAGCAAAAUAAUGAAUUUAUAGGUUAUAUAUUUGAAGAAUGACAUUAUCAUCGGUGUUGGAAAGCCUAAAGGACACCAAACAUACACAACGGUGCAAUCGACUCUUAAAAAGACACUGAUGGUGAAUGGUGUUCCCAAAACAGUGUCCUAUGUAUGGCCUGUUUUCUAGUAAUGUUUUUUGAAUAAAAUUUGUGAAUGGAUCACAAUGACAAUGUAAGAAUUCACUAUUGAUAAAAUACAAUACACUCUCUGUUUGUUCAAUAAAAUUCUGUGAAUGAUGACGAUGACAAUUGUGUACACAUAAAUCCAUUUCACCAAAGCUGAGACUUGGCAAGUAGAGAUUAUGAGCCCCGCUCUCAUCUUCCCCUCUUUCCUUCUUUCCCUCUUCUCAUUUGCAUCUUGUCUCUUUUCCCUUGCUCUUCUCUUCCCCUUGUAUUUUCUUCAUAUGUUUUAUCUGUUCCAUUUUCUUCUCUUUCUCAAAUCAAACAAAAUUGGUCAAACUAAGCUGAAUCUGAACCGAACUAGUUAUACCAUUUAAAUUUUAUCUUCCAUUUUUUAGGGUGAAGCAAAUCGAACCAAACCGUUAAUUAGUCAGUGUUUAAGCAUGUAUAUAGGGAAUCCAUUAUCGAACACAUCUGCUGACUUCAUGCUCUUUGUGAGCUCUAAAUUGUUUAGUUAGUAUAUAUGCAUUAAGAUAUAUUUUCGUAGUCACAUUAUUCAAACCACUGAAGUUGUAAUUCGUCUGAUUGGACUUCGUUUAAUGAAAUUUCUCUACCAUAUAUUGACAAAAAAAGAAAAAAGAAAUGCAUGUAUUAUGGCCGAGAGCUAAGUUAUACACACGACAGUGAAACAAAUAAUACUAUGUACCUAGUCCUCUCCAUUGCAGUAGAUCUUUUUUCAUGUACCCGGAACACGAGCUUGUACAUUACGUGUCAUAAGAGUGUUGAAUCCCACAUCGACCAAGUAAAAGAAAAGUAAAUAGUUUAAAUAUCUUAACCACACCCUAACUAACACCGAUGCCAUUUGUGAUAAAACCUCAUACCUGACGAAUUAGGCAGGUGGUAAUUACCAAGUUGGGCAUUGAGGUAUUUUGUGAUAAAACCCCACACCUGACGGAUUGUGCAAGUAGUAAUUACCAAGUUGGGGACAGUAUCAGUGUUGUUGUAAGUGGGUCUUUGGCCUGUCUCGUCUUUCUAAUAAUUCUACAUGGUAUCAGAGUCAGAGAGCGGACCCGUACUAUACUGCCACAUGAUGGAUGGGUCUCAUUGGCCCCACGCGAUGAUGGAUGGGUCCCAUUGUCCCCGCGUGUAAGGUGAGUCCCCUUAGCUUCACGUGGUUGUUGAUGUGUGGAUCUCCCACGUGUGACCCACUAAUUAGGUCCCACGUGAAGGGACAUGUUGAAUCCCAUAUCGACCAAGUAAAAGAAAAGUAAAUAGUUUAAACAUCCUAACCUCACUUUAACUAACACCGAGGCCUUUUGUGAUAAAACCUCAUAUCUGACGGAUUGUGCAUGUGGUAAUUGCCAAGUUGGGAACAAUAUCGGUAUUGUUGAAAGUGGACUCUGAGCUCGUCUCUCUGAUAAUUCUAAAUGAUAUCAAAGCUAGGAAUCGGGCCCCGUAUUGCCCAUGAUGAGUGGGUCCCCUUGGCCCCGCGUGCUAAGGGUGGGUCACUUGGCCCCGCGUGUAGGGUGAGUCCCCUUGGCUGCACGUGGUUGCCAAUGUGUAGACCUCUCACGUGCGACCCACUAAUUGAGUCCCACGUGAGGGGGCAUGUUAAGUCCCACAUCAGCUAUACAAAAAGAGAAAUUAUAGUUUAAAUAUCCUAACCAUACUCCAAUUAAUACCAAUGCCUUUUAUGAUAAAAUCUCACACCUGACGGUUUUGGCAGGUAGUAAUUACCAAGUUGGGGACAAUUAGUGUUAUUGGAAGUAGACAUUCGGGCAAUCUUUUUGAUAAUUAUACAUGGUAUCAAAGUUAGGGAGCGGGUCUGUACGUACUACCACGUGAUGGGUGGGUCCCUUUGGCCCCAUGGAUAAUGGUGGGUCCCUUGGCCCCGCGUGUAGGGUGAGUCCAUUUAGCUCCACAUAGUUGCCGAUGUGUGGAUCUCUCACGUGUGACCAAGGAAGAAAAUAUCAGUAAUAUCGGAAAUAUCGGUAGUCCGAAAACACGGAAAUAUCGAUGGAAAUAUCGGGAUAAUAUCGAUAUCGAUAAAAAUUACAUGGAAAUCACGGAAAUUGUAAGAAAAACUUGGAAAUUUUUAUUGAAACUUUGCAGGAUGUUUAUUUAGUCAAUUAUCUAUUAGUUUAUCACAAAAAAUUGGAAGGAAAUGCAUUGCAUGAUGGAUUUAACAUUAUCAAGUUGAUUAUAUAGCGAGCUGACAAACAUUGUGAGUGUAGAAAAUAUGUAGUAAUUAAUGAAAGAGGUCUAAACACACCAUAAUCAUUUAUAUAUAAUGAAUUAGUACAAUAUUUUACACUUUAUACAUUGCAUUUUUGGUUCUUCUCCGACAGAAUUUGGUCUUCACGUGGAAAAGAAGAUAAAGUAAGCAGAUUUUUUGGUUCUUCUCUGACAGAAUAUUUGGUUCUUCUGUGCAAAGUCACUUCCAAUUCUUUCAUACAAAACCGUGUGCCACACACACACACCCUCAAAGUUUUUUUCUUUUUCUCUCGGAUAACACACACACACACAUAACCAUACACACACACACACACACACACAUAACCAUACACACACAUAACCAUACACACACACACACACACACAUAACCAUACACACACACACACACACACACACACACACACACACAAAAAACCAUGGUUUUAUACAAAACCGUGUGCCACACACACACACACACACACCCUCAAUCCUUCCUUCUCUCUCGAAUCGUCUCGAUCCUUCCUUCUCUCUCUUCUCUCUCUGAGUCUUCUCCAUUCCUGUAAUUGUUCUCAGUCUUCUCCCUUCCCCCUUCUCCAGUUCUUCCACACACACACAGACAUCAUCUCUCGAAUCUCGAUCCAUCUCUCGAUCCUCCUCGUCCGCGUCUCCCUCUGCUCCUCCCAUCUCACCCGCCCUAAACCCAGCCGUCGACACCACUCCAUAACCGCCUUCUAAACCACCUUGUUCCAUGGAGAAGCCGUGUCGUUAGUCCCAAUCGUCGAGUCGUAACUGUCGCGUCAUCGCAAAUCAACGGUUGUGGAGAAACUGAGUGGAGGCAGCGGACACCGGACGAUGGACCGGAAUUCAUCGUAGUCGUCGGUGAGGAGCACGACGUUGUCCCAGCCGUCUUGGAUUCGUGAGGAAAACGACGUUCCCAGGCUCCUACUACCAUAUUCUUCUCGGCUUGUAAUUUAAUUUUUGUACAGAUUUCGAAUUUUCUGCAUGUUGCACCAUUUUUGUACUGAAUUCGAUUUUAGGGAUUUAGGAAUUAGGGAUUCAGUUCAUUUGCUUUGAAUUUGAAUUUGGGGAUUUAGGGAUUCAGUUCAUUUGCUUUGAAAUCGAAUUUGGGGAUUUAGGGAUUCGGUUAAUUUGCUCCGGCGUUCUUCUCCGAUUUGAACAGUACCAAAAUAUCGCGAUAGUUUAAAAAAUAUUGCGAUAUUAUCGAUAUUAUCGAUAAUAUCGCGAUAUUUUGACGAAAACAAUUUGGAUAGUUAAAAAAAUAUCGGACCCCCAAAAAAACGAUAAUAUCGGCGAAAUAUCGCUGAUAUUAUCGAUAUUUUCUUCACUGCGUGUGACCCACUAAUUGGGUCCCACAAUAGGGCAUGUUGAAAUCCCAUAUCGGCUAGAGAACUAAAGAAAGAAGAGUUUAAAUAUCAUAACCCCACUCCAACUAAUACCGAGGUUUUUUGUGAUAAAACCCACACCUGACGGAUUGUGUAGGUGGUAAUUACCAAGUUGGGGAUAGUAUCAGUGUUGUUGAAAGUGGGUAUUUGGCCCGUUUAUCUGAUAAUUCUACAAAGAGGACAUAUAUUUUUUAGUGUCCCUUGGUAAAGAUUGUCGUAGUAUUUAUAAUAAAGUUACUUGUAUUAUGACAUAUGAUGUAUAUAUUUAUAUUCCGUAUACACAAAAAUCUCUCUCAAGUUGGGGAUACUUGUGAAUAGCAUGUAUCACAUGACAAUGUCGGGUCACUAUUAGGAAUGCAGUACACCUCGCAUGUGCUAUUUUGUACAUAUGCGACCAAAUCUGGAAAAUGUCAGCGAAGCAAUUUACCAGGGACCAAUAAACAACGAUGCGAUGCAUUUGGGAACUCGAGGUGUGUGUGUUACGUUACGUACACGGAGGGCUAACUGUAUGACGGGUCCAACAAAUCUUACAAUGCGAUGCAUUUGCGAACUCGAGGUGUGUGUGUUACGUUACGUACACGGAGGGCUAACUGUAUGACGGGUCCAACAAAUCUUACAACAGCAUGAUAUCUCGGGUCCUAAUAAGUGAGAGAUUUUUUUAUAGGGAAUUUUAACGAAAAACUCUUAGUAUUGUUUAUUUUAACGAAAAAUUACAUUUUUACACUAAAAAGUCAAUCCUGAUACCAUUAACUUUACCCUUUAUUUUGUACUUAUCGUUAAAACUCAAAGUUUUCAAGUUUUUUUAUUAAUUUUCCUUUUUUUAUAUGCUUGAAAUAUGGGGCAAACACAACAUUUUUUUAUACAAUUGGAGGGAUACACUAAAAAAAAAAAUCCAAAUUGUUCACACCUUUUUUAUAUUUUUGGUUGUGAGGAAUGCCAUCAAGCCCAAUCAACAAAAUUAAUUAGUUUCGGUAUAGUAUCUGCUUUUGUUUAGGUUGUAAACACUUAUGAGACCAUUUCUAACCAUUGGGCUAAAACCUAACAUUUUUAACCCAGAAAAUUUAGGUUUUAGCCCAUAAACAGUUUUUCUGCCUCAAUCUUUCUGACCUAAAAUUUUAGCCCCAGAUUGUAAGAAUAUUUUAAUAUUCUAAAGUGGUCCAUAUGACACGGUCCAUAUGAUAUGUAGGGUUUAACGGAGAUUAUCAUUUGUAAAUAAUCCUAUUGGUCAAAUUAUGAGAAAUGUUUCCUAUCAAAUUACUGUGAUGGGUGGUAAUUGAUUAUGGACUUUAAAUGGAAACGAGUCCUCUCUCUGCCUCACUUAUAUAUAUAUAUAUAUAUAUAUAUAUAUAUAUAUUGCAUAUACCCAUCUAAUAUGCACUUGAUAGAAAAACACGAUUAGGGUUUUCACGUGCAAAUAGAGGCAAGAGAGAGAACACCUAUUUCCUCCGCCGUUGACAGAAUCCGUUUGGGAUCUCAUAGCGUUCGUUGUCAUGGAUCAAGGUACGCUUGGUUGUUUAAUGUAUUUCCGGAAAUUAUUUGUAUGUGAAAAUCAUGAAGUUCGAUGAUCUUGGCUUAAUUGUUUUAAGAUUUACAUGUGGUAUCAGAGCCUGGUUGAGAGCUCUCAUGAUUUUCCAAUUACGAUUAUGAACUUUAACUGAAUCGACUUGAUUAGGGUUUUGUUUCGAAAUAAAUUAUGAUCCGCUGUGCUAUUUUGAAAUAACCUAAUCGCUGUUUUGAAUUGUGAAUGUUCUUUAUAUAUUGUAAAUUGCACUCGGCAAGAAUAUUUUUAAUUAUGAUGUUGCUGCUUACUGUCAGCAUAAUUUUUUAAAUCUGCAAGAACGGAAUCGGUGGUUAAUUAGGGUGCAAUGUCUGCUGUUUUGAGACAGACAUGAUUGUAUUUUAUUUGCAUGUAUUGAUUAUGCAUGUUGGGAUUAAGAAAUUGUAAUCUUAGUUUUAUUACAAUUUUUGCCGAAUUGCAUAUUUGGGUAUGGAAAUUAUGAUGCAAUUUGGGCGAUUCUUUUAGUUGGAAUUAGUUAAAGUAAUUUGAAUACCUAUGACUGAUCAUUACGAUUAUAAACGUCAUUCAUUUAAUUUGUAAUUCGUCUUACGAAAUUAUUUGCAAGUCACCAAAGUGGCCAAACUAGAAAGAUUACAUGGAUUCAAAUUAAAUGAUGAUUAAUCAAUUACUCAUGGUAGGAUGAUGCAUAUGAACGAACAAAACCUUAUUAUGUUUUAAAGGUUUGUACAUGAGUAAUAUGUUUUUCAUUUGUCAUAAGUUCUUAAGGGUCACCCAAAGGUAGACUAAUUGCUCAUAUGAUUGAUGAUAUGAAUGUGUUGAGAAUUGUAUAUUUCAUUUUUAUUUGUUCGGAUAUCCAAAGAUAAUGAAACCUGUCUUAUUAGAGAUGUACAAUUAUCAAUAAGGUAUUAUGCAUCGAUUAUUGUUUGUAUUGUUGUAGUAUCUACCCAAAGGAGAAUAUGAUAAUACACUUAUUGUUAUUACACGUGUUUUUUUUUAUUACUCAAAGCAGUAAUGUUGUGAGCACUUUUGAAUUGCAGUGUCGGUGCCUGUUUCUCUUCAUUCACUUGCUCCAUCUAUUCCCUCACUUAAUGGAACAAAUUUCUCAGAUUGGAGUGAGCAAGUUCAGUUUCACCUUGGUGUCCUGGAUCUUGAUUUAGCACUCCGAACUGACAAACCUGCUGCUCUUACGAAUACAAGCAGCACUGAGGAAAAAUCUCUCUAUAAUGCCUGGGAGAGAUCGAAUAGAUUGAGCAUGAUGUUUAUGCGAAUGACUAUAAUGAGCAACAUAAAGACUGGCCUUCCUCAAGCUGAAACUGCUAAGGAAUACUUGAAAAAUAUUGAGACUCGUUUCAAGACUGCUGACAAGUCUCUUGCUGGGACAUUAAUGGCUGAGCUUACCACCAAGAAAUUUGAUAGUAUGCGAAGCAUGCAUGAGCAUGUCCUUGAAAUGACUAAUAUAGCAGCAAAGCUAAAGACUCUUGGAAUGAAUGUGGAUGACUCAUUUCUUGUUCAAUUUAUUUUGAACUCCUUGCCUCCUCAGUAUGGGCCAUUUCAAAUCAACUAUAAUGCUAUUAAGGACAAAUGGAAUGUUGAUGAAUUGGCCACAAAACUCGUUCAAGAGGAGGGAAGGCUUAAGCAGCAAGGAGAACAUUCCGUUCAUUUAGUAAGUCAAGGAGCUGAAAGAAAAUUUGGAAGAAAGCCUGGAAAGGGCAAGAAAAGAGGAUCACCCAAGGUGAAUGGACCUGCUAAUGCUACUCAGGCUCAUGAUAAGGAACAUAAAAGUGAUUUUAUGUCGCUUCUGUAGGAAGCCUGGGAAUUAUCAAAAGAAUUGCCAGAAAUUCAAGGAAUGGUUCGAAAAGAAAGGUGAGCCUUUGGCUUAUGUAAGUUUCGAAUCAUAUUUAACUGAAGUUCCUUAUAAUACUUGGUGGGUUGACUCUGGUGCUACAGCUCAUAUUUCUAAUUCGAUGCAGGGAUUCCUUACGACCCACACUUUAAAUCCAAAUGAAAAUUUCAUUUUCAUGGGGAAUCGAGUCAAAGCUCCAGUUGAAGCUGUUGGAACUUUUCGUUUAAUUUUGGAUACUGGAUAUUGUUUGGAUUUAUUUCAGACACUUUAUGUUCCUAGUUGUUCCAGAAAUUUGGUUUCAGUCUCGAAGCUUGACCGUAAUGGAUUUUUUAUAAAGUUUGGUAAUGAAUGUUUCAGUUUAUAUAAGAAUACCUCUUUUGUUGGUUCUGGUAUUCUAAUAGGUGAGCUGCAUAAUUUAAAACUCAAUAAUCGUUUUGCUGAAACACUUUUGACCUUGCAUCAUAAUGUUGGAACUAAGCGUAGCCUAAACAAUGAAAAUUCUUCAUUCUUGUGGCAUAAACGACUGGGUCAUAUAUCCAGAGAAAGGUUAGAAAGAUUAGUAAAGAAUGAGAUUCUUCCAAACCUAGAUUUUACUGAUCUCGGUGUGUGCGUGGAUUGUAUUAAGGGCAAACAAACCAAACACACCAAGAAAGGAGCUACAAGAAGUUCAGAGCUUCUUGAAAUAAUUCAUACAGACAUAUGUGGACCUUUUGAUGCUCCAUCUUUUAGCGGAGAAAAAUAUUUUAUCACCUUUAUAGACAAUUUUUCACGUUACGGCUAUAUUUAUCUGUUGAAAGAAAAGUCUGAAUCAGUGAAUUCCUUUCAGGUGUUCAUUAUUGAAGUUGAAAGACAAUUAGAUAAAAAGGUUAAGAUUGUCAGGUCGGAUAGAGGUGGUGAAUUUUAUGGAAAAUAUGAUGAAUCAGGACAAUGUCCUGGUCCUUUUGCAAAACUCCUUGAAAAGCAUGGCAUAUGUGCCUAAUACACUAUGCCAGGUACGCCACAGCAGAAUGGUGUUGCUGAAAUGCGUAAUCGUACUCUUAUGGACAUGGUUAGGAGUAUGUUAAGUAAUGCAUAUUUGCCUAUAUCAUUAUGGAUGUAUGCUCUUAGGACUGCUGUAUACUUAUUAAACCGGGUUCCUAGUAAGGCAGUUCCGAAAACACCAUUUGAAUUGUGGACAGGAAGGAAACCUAGUUUAAGGCACUUGCAUGUUUGGGGAUGCCCAGCAGAAAUAAGAAUUUAUAAUCCGCAUGAAAAUAAGUUGGAUUUUAGAACGAUUAGUGGUAACUUUAUUGGUUACCCAGAAAAAUCCAAAGGAUAUAGGUUUUACUGUCCUAAUCAUAGUACGAGAAUUGUUGAAACUGGCAAUGCCAGAUUCAUUGAAAGUGGUGAAAUUAGUGGGAGCGAAAAACCUAAAGAAUUGGUCAUUAAUGAAGUUAGGGUGCAGAUUCCUACACCUAUAAUUUCUAAGCAAGUUGUUGUUCCUAUACAUGUUGAACCGUUAGACAAUGUUGAACAACAAAUUAAUGACCAUCCGCUCCAGAAUGAGAUUAUCACAAAUGAAAAUGUAGUGGAAGAACCACAAGAAAUAACAUUAAGGAGAUCUUAAAGAGAACGGAAAAGUGCUAUUUCAGAUGGUUAUGUGGUAUAUUUACAAGAGUCUGAUGUUGAUAUAGGAAUAAAUAAAGAUCCGGUUUCGUUUUCACAGUCGUUAACUGUAUUGAUUCUAGUAAAUGGAUUGAUGCCAUGAAUGAUGAGUUAAAAUCAAUGGACAAAAAUGAAGUCUGGGAUCUCGUUGAAUUGCCUAAAGGUUGUAAGAGAGUUGGGUGUAAGUGGGGUUUUAAGACCAAACGCGACUCUAAUGGCAAUAUAGAAUGAUAUAAAGCCAGAUUGGUGGCCAAAGGUUUUACUUAGAAAGAAGGCGUUGAUUACAAAGAGACUUUCUCACCAGUUUCAAAGAAAGACUCUUUUAGAAUCAUUAUGGCAUUAGUAGCUCAUUAUGAUUUAGAGUUACAUCAAAUGGAUGUGAAAACGGCAUUCUUGAAUGGGAGUUUGGAAGAAGAAGUCUACAUGGAUCAACCUGAAGGCUUCGCAUUAAAGGGAAAGGAACACAUGGUCUGUAAACUAAAGAAGUCAAUAUACGAACUUAAACAAGCUUCACGACAAUGGUAUCUUAAGUUUGAUAAUAUCAUUGUAUCCUUCGGUUUUAAAGCAAACAUCGCUGAUCGAUGUACAUAUCUGAAGGUCAGUGGGAGCAAGUUUAUCUUUCUAAUUAUGUAUGUUGAUGACAUUUUGCUUGCUAGUAGUGAUCUUGGUCUAUUACAUGAGACCAAACAGUUUCUCUCGGAGAAUUUUAAAUGAAAGAUAUGGGUGAGGUGGCCUAUGUGAUAGGAAUUGAAAUAUUCCGAGAUAGAUCACAUGGAGUGUUAGGCUUGUCUUAAAAAGCAUAUAUUGAGAGAGUUCUAGAGAGAUUCGGUAUGGAAAAAUGUUCAUCCAGUGUUGCUUCAAUUCAGAAAGGGGAUAAGUUUAGCCUUAUGUAAUGCCCACAAAAUGAAUUGGAGCGUGCACAAAUGGAAAGUAUUCCUUAUGCAUCUAUUGUAGGAAGUCUGAUGUAUGCACAAACUUGUACCAGACCAGACAUCAGUUUUGCAGUUGGGAUGUUAGGCAGAUACCAAAGUAACCCAGGAAUGGAUCACUGGAAAGCUGCAAAGAAAGUGAUGCGGUAUUUGCAAGGAACGAAAGACUAUAUGCUCACGUAUAGAAAAUCUAAUAACCUAGAAGUUAUUGGUUAUUCAGAUUCAGAUUUUGCUAGAUGCAUUGAUAGCAGAAGAUCAACUCUUGGUUACUUGUUUCUCUUAGCUGGAGGAGCAAUUUCCUGGAAGAGUACAAAGCAAGAUGCUAUUGCUAUAUCCACCAUGGAAGCUGAAUUUAUAGCAUGCUUUGAGGCUACAAAUCAUGGAUUAUGGUUACAGAAUUUUAUCUCAAGGCUUGGCGUUAUUGAUUUCAUUGCUAAGCCGUUGAGAAUUUUCUGUGACAAUGCUGCCGCUGUCUUCUUCUCCAAGAAUGACAAGUAUUCUAAUGGUGCUAAACACAUGGAUAUAAAAUACUUGACUCUUAAGGAGGAGGUUCAGAAACAAAUAGUGUCUAUUGAGCACAUAAGCACAAUGCUUAUGAUCGCAGAUCCCUUGACAAAGAGACUGGGGCCGAAGGCAUUUAAUGAUCAUGUUGAAAGAAUGGGUCUUGGUUGUAGUCCAUGAUGAUUGUCAUUUUUUUUUUAAUUUUGUGAAGGGAAAAUUAUGAGUUUUCACAUAUAGGGAUUUCAAAAAGACUAUCAUGCAUAUACAAAUCAAAUUUAAUAUACGAAAGCAGCGGAAGCAUUUAUAACAAAUUAUCAAAGCUAUAGUCAUGCAAAUCCCCUUCAAUGUUCAUAGGUUUAUAUAUAAUGCAUCAGAGCAAUUUUAGAGAAGAACAAAGUGAAGGUUUAGUCUAAUACCUCUUGAUCUAGACUUGAGACCAUGGAUGGACCACCUCCAAGCCCUUUGUUCCUUGAACUCCUUGAGCCUAGCUUUCCUCCUUGCCUCCUCCACUUUGUUAGAAUGAGUGCUCCUAGGUUCUCUUCAAGUUUCCAAAGUAGGAAACCUCUAAAGAUCCUCACCCACUAGUGUAGUGAGAAGGAUGAAGGAAUAACCAAAAGGGUGAAAGAUGUGUUAGUAAAAACACCCCUAAGGUGGCCGCCCUUUGUAGUGUUAGAGAGCUAUUUUUCUUUUGCCUCUUUGUUGUUUUAACACUUCAAAAACCCUAAUGAACAAUAUCUCUAUAAAGUUCCUUAUAUAGACAAAAGGAAACCUAGUCAACCACUUGACUAAAUAUCUCUCCAUUUCCACUUAAAGUGGCCGGCCUCUUGUGUUGGAUUUGGGCUUUUGGGCUUUUAUAUAUUUCAAGUCAUCCAAUGCUUGAAUAAAAGUCCAAUGGGCCCAAUUAAACCCGAACGUUUCUUUAAGCCCAAAACGAUCUUUAUCGCUUUUAUGAUUUCUUUAGACUUUCUAAAUUAAUCACAACACUUAAUUAAUCCAAUUAAUUAUUUCCAUCAUCCAUUAGUUACUCACUACAAUAGUGUAUUGGUGAACAAUCUUGUAGGUUCUAAUUAGCAAGGCAGUGAGGUGAUUGGCACCAAUCCAAUUGAUUAUAUUUAAUCCAAUCACUUAGUGAAUUAAAACAUACUUUUAAUUCACCUUCUUCUUUGACGACUACAUUUAAUCAUUUAGAAGAACUCACAAGCCAUGAGUGACAUCUAACCAUAUAUCAUGGCUACCCAAGCUAAUGUAGAAGUUUGUUCGGAGAACCUAUUCAGUUGGAAUUACAAUGUAAUUCGAUCCUUCUCUAAAACAAUACUCUCAAUCACAUUACUUGGGUAUGGAAAUAUUAUGUCAAACCCCUAAUGUGAUUAUUCCUUCUUAUAUGAUUCUUUUGAGUCGUAUAGGAACGCUUUCCUUUAUUACGCUCGAUACUUCGGCCAAAGAUUCCCGAAUCAUAUCUUAGAGUAUUCUUCCUCUCUUAUCGAGGAUUAGAGAUUCCUUGUUGCGCAUACACUUGCCUUCAUGACUAAGUGGCUUAACCCCAAUUAUGCCGUGGACACCCGUGAAUGGGGAGACUUUGACAUAAUCAAAGAUUAAGUACUUAACCACAAGACAACGACGAUGCCUCAAGUCAAAGGACUACUUACAUUAUUCCAACCAUUAGAGUUACUUGCUUGACAUGUGAGUAGACCUCCAUGCAAGUACUCUCGUUCGAUUGUGUUCAGUGAACUCAUUCCCUUAAUGAGCACCUACAUACUUGUCUUAGUGUCACAACACGAAUGGGAUGAGACUUUCCAUCCUUCCAUUUGAAGCAGACACAAUAUGUACCGGUCUAAGCAUUGUCAGUAUCCCUCCGACAAUCCAAUGACCAGGAACAUUUUUGGACAUUUGGUUAUAUGAAGAAGGUCUCUGUAGUCUAACAUCAUUAGAUUACUUCUUCAAUUGAUCCAUUGUCCAUGGAUACACUAUUUAGGACAUAUAUCGUUUAUUGAGAUAGUCCUAAUUAGUAUCUUUGCCAUUUGAUGUAUAAGAUUCAUCUAUACAUCGAUUUAUUUGUCCUGAAAGGUUUCUUCCAAAGAUUGACUUUCAAGGCAUAUUUCCAACAUUUUGUUUAUGAGAAUUUGUUUAAUGACAGUAUUGUGCUUGACACUCUGAGCUCGAUAAUUGAACAUGUUUCUGGUAUUUCCUGUUUUCCAUUAUAUGUAUACAUUUAUGAGAUCGGAUGAAUGAUAACAGGAAUGUCUCUGACAAAGACAUUAUCGGACCUAUAUAUGUAUUUCUCACUAACAGACUGUUUUAGGUAAUUGCUAGUGUUGUGGUGCAUGGAAGGGACUACGUCGCUCGUUGAUGUACAACCGCCAUGACUCACACUAGUGAAUUGCUUAAGAUCAAUAAUUAUGUUAACCAAUUGAUAGUAAGGAUUAUUUUGAACUUUACUGCGCGCUUAAUGUUUAUUUUUUAAACCUGAAAAGGAACAUGUGUCACUAUGGACCAAGUGGGAGAAUGUAAGAAUAUUUUAAUAUUCUAAAGUAGUCCAUAUGACACGGUCCAUAUGAUAUGUAGGGUUUAAUGGAUAUUAUCAUUUGUAAAUAAUCAUAUUGGUCAAAUUAUGAGAAAUGUUUCCUAUCAAAUUAUUGUGAUGGGUGGUAAUUGAUUAUGGGCUUUAAAUGGAAACGGGUCCUCUCUUUGCUUCACUUAUAUACAUUGCAUAUACCCAUCUAAUAUGCACUUGAUAGAAAAACACAAUUAGGGUUUUCACGUGCAAAUAGAGGCAAGAGAGAGAACACAUAUUUCCUCCGCCGUUGACAGAAUCCGUUUGGGAUCUCAUAGCGUUCAUUGUCAUGGAUCAAGGUACGCUUGGUUGUUUAAUGUAUUUCCGGAAAUUAUUUGUAUGUGAAAAUCAUGAAGUUCGAUAAUCUUGGCUUAAUUGUUUUAAGAUUUACACAGAUUAUUAAAGAAUAAAUUUAGGCUAAUUUUUUUUUCUUAAAGUAACUUUUUUUAAAGAAAAAAAAUUAUGUAGACUAUCAUGAUUUAAUUUUAUGAACGUUUUAACCUAAAAAUAUUUAUAUUCUGACAAAUAUUGAAAAAUCACAAACCGACACCAUGAAACUAGUUCAUCACUAUGAAAAAAACAUGAAAUACAUAAAAGAUUUUUUUUUAAUUACUUUAGCCGUUAUAUUUAAAUUUGGACCGUUAAAAUUUUUUUUUACCGUUGAAUUUCAUCAAAUUAGAUCUUAACAGUUAGAUUCAAUGAAUUUAUAAAUAUAAAACUAAAUAAAAUACACAUAUAUAGUGGGUCAGCCCUACUAAUCCUGGGCUAAAUCAGACUUUUUUUUUAGGUUUUAGCUUUUAGCCCACACAUUUAGCAUGGGUUGGGUUGGGUUGGGUUUGAAAGAAAUAAAACUUAAAAAAUAGCAUUUAGCCCAGGAUUAGGUUUAAUCUAAGUGCUGGAUUAAUGUCCCAGCGUCCUAUCCGGAUUGACCCAUUUCAAUAUAUUAAAAACGUGAGAAAGUGGUUGACAAGUGUACAAAUAAUAUAUGCGUUUGGUAUGUGAAUUUUGUGUGGUUUAUGUGUAUCAGCGUAUUUGGUUGAAUACGAUUUAUGUAAUACUAAUAAUAUUGUGAGUUUUUAAUUGACCUAAACCAGAACUUCUUAUUAAUACUAUAACUUUAGUCCAUAAAAUAUCAACCACAUCCUUCACUAAAAAAAUCUGACAACGUGAAAAACAUAUUUGAAUGUGUUUAUUCAUAAAUCUUAUCACGGUCUAUCACAAAUAGGGUCGAUAUUAUUUCAAUUUAACCAUUUAUUAUUAGAUGUUGGAUUUUAUCACAAAAGUCUUCAAUGAUAUUUGCUGUAAAAAUUCUCUUAUUAAUACAUUAUUUUGUCAUACCUCCGAUGCGCAACUCAAUUCUCUAACAUUUAUCGGUUUAAGUAAAUCUCCAAACAACUUUCACAACUAGAUGGAAUGCAUAACAAUAAAAUAGAGGCCAUUUUCUAAGGGAUUAGGACUCUCUCCCCUUUCCCCUCCUAUUUGAACAACCACAAUUAAGUUAGGUCAACAUCUUGUGUUGCUUUCUUUAUAAAGAGAGAAAUACAAUGAAAAUGUAAGAGAAGAGGAGGAAAAUGGAUGAAAAUUGGAGGGGGAGAGAUUCCAAGAUAGUUAGCUCAUCUGUUUUCACUCACAAAACUUAAAGGUGAUGUUUUCUUGCCUAGUUGUAUCUCUUUGUUUGUAGGCUUUUGUUUUCUGUGAUCCAGAUAAAUUAAUUUCUCUUUUGACACAGUCACACUAGGGGAUUUCCAUUUACAAUAUUGAUCAUGUUGUUGACACACUCUCAAAUAGAUGUGAAAUGUGAGACAUCCUGUCUAAACUAUAGCUUGACACCAAUUUUGAGUGUUUAAAUGACGUUUCUUUUUCUUCUUUUGUGUAAUUAUAAAUUCCAAUAUCUGAUUUUUGUCUAAUUUACCGUAAAUAUUUGGUAGAUCUCUUGUCUCUUUUCCCUUGCUCUUCUCUUCCCCUUUUCUUUUUCUUUUUUUCAUAUGUUUUAUCUGUUCCCUUCUUAUCUCUUCACCAAAUAGGACAAAAUUGAUCAAAGUAAGCUGAAUUUGAACCGAACUAGUUAACUUUUUAUUUUAAUUUUCAAUUUUUUGGGAUGGAAGUAAAUCAAACCAAAGCGUUCUCACCCAUACUUAGUCAGUGCUAAGCAUGUUUAUCAGGAAUUGAACACAUCUGCUGACUUCAUGCUCCUUGUGAGCUCUAAGUUGUUUAUUUAGUAUUUUACAACUGAUAAAUUUUCGUAGUCACAUUUUUCAAACCAUCGAAAGUUUGUGUUAGUAUGCUUGGAAAUUUAAUAAUAAUAUUAUUAUAUUAAAUUUAUUAAUUGAAUGGAAAUUAGAAGUGGAGACCUUUGGUAGAAAAAUGUGUCUAUUCAAAUGAAGAAUUGCAACUUUUGACUCUUCAUGAAUAGUCAUGUUUUCCAAAGAAGUAUCUCAAAAUCUAUAAAUAGGAAAGUCUCUAUAAACAUAAAUAAUUUUCAUUGUUUACAUAAUCAUAUAUAGAGUGCACUAAAUAUUAAAGAGACUCAUUUAGUCCAUAUGACAUGCCCCGAUCCCGAUAUCCCCAAAUACCAGGAUAUGCACGUGCUGACCGAUACCCCGAUGGUGAUGAAGCCAUUUUUAACAUGCAUGCAAGUUAUAAAGAAGAAACAAACAUAAGUAAAUAAGUGAAUUUAAAUAUAUGAAAAUGUGUGGAUGCGGGAACGUGUUCAGAGCAUAUAUCUAAUCAAGAAUAGUGAGAAAGGAAUUUAAGAAAUAAAUGUGAUUACAAAGAAAGUGGGUCCUACCUCGAGGGGACUCGAAGAUACCAAUGCGGGAGUGCCUUGACGUCGUGAUCGUACGCCUCAAUCCUAAGUCCUGAAAAGGGCUCAAAACAAAACAUGAGUGGACUAAAGUUGUUAAUAAUAAUAAUAAUAAAUUUAUUUCUUUUUGAACAUACUAACCCCCUGUUCUGAAAACACCAUAUAAAUACUACAUAGUAGGGUUUUCUGAAACUCUAAUAUGCCAUAAAACCAUCGUAGACCAUGUAUGUAUAAAACAAUGUUGAAUAAUGGUUAUAUAGUCACCCGAAGGCAAAUCUGUAAAAGCUCGUAAAUCAUAUAACUAUGUACUCAAUUAGGGGUAUCAUAGUCUGUAAUACCUUGAAAAAUUUAAGUAUAUGAAUUUGAUAUUCAUAAUUAUGAAUAUGUGGGGAAAAAUAGAAAUUAAAUCUAUUUAUGGUUAUGGAAAUUUAAUUGGGAGAUUUUAAAAUUUUGUUACCAGAAAUUAUUAUAAUUUAUGUUGUAAAAAUUUAUCGAUAAGGGAAAAAGAUGAAAAUGCACUAGUUGGUUUAACGUAAUUAUACGAGGACGUAUUUUAUCCUCGUAUAUAUUUUAUUGUAUUUCUUGAUAUAUUUGGAUAGAGCUCGACCCUACGAAAACGUAAGCAAAAAUCGUUUGUGAAUUGAAGUUGAAACGAAGAUAUUAGAGGUUUUUUUUUUUUUUUUUUUUUAAAAAAAAAAAAAAAAAGGAGUCUGGAAGUUGCUAGAGGGCAAAUGAGGGGGAAAACCCGGUUCCCCUUGACUUGCCCGACUCGACUGAGUACCACAACCAAAUUUGAUCCUUUAUCUGGGCAAUUUCUGGUGAAUUGCGUUGAUUCACUACCUGAAAAUUUAUCCUCGGCCUCUCAUCUCCCCGUUACACCAUAAAUCCUAGUUAAUUAGAUCUUGAUUUGGAAAAAAAUAGCACCAUGGGUGUGUCGAGUGCUCGGCUCGGAAUCACCAAAAUCUGAAGCUAACUCUCUCCACCACCACCACCAAUCAACUCCGCACAACCUCAGGAACAAAGCCCAAGUAAUGGUGGAGGCAUUGGAGCGAAUAUGGAGGUGGAAUCGAAGCACACCCAAUUCUAGGGUUCAGGCGGUUCAUGGGCGAUUUCUCGGCCCAGGUAUAAAAAUUACUCCCCUAAUUGAGAUCUACAUGCCUGUAAAAUUUGGUAAUUUUUGGAAAUAGUUGAAUUUUCCGACGAGUCAGGACGGCCGGCCUCCGUGUGCGGCAACGCGUGGGCCAAGACCCUACCUGCUCUUCCUAGAUUAAUUUGGAUACCCUGAUUCCAUAUGUGGCGUUCGAUUUAUGAAAUCUCGUCGUAUGACUAUGAUUUUGAUAAAAACCGCCACUUAAAUUUGCAAUUAGCGGAGAUCCAACCGUUGGAACGUAAUGAAAUUUUAGUAUGUUGUUCUAGAUGUAUAAUGUGGAUGUUGAUAAGUUACGGAUUAUAAAUCUGAUAGGCAGAUCAUCCGGUUUAAAUUUCUAGGGUUGUGAACCCUAUACUUGAUCUUGAUCGACGGGUGACUUUUUAUAGUCAACUAAACCGAGUUUCUAGCGUGCUAUUUAUCUUAGAGUGUUGUUGACAUUUCAUGAAGUUUAGUGGGCUCAUUGCGACGACGGGUGGCUUGAUUUACCUACAAGUGACUAUAAUAUAGGUGAUUUAUAUUGAAUUGUUAUUUUAUUUUAUUGCCAUUGAUCUACAUUUGUGAAUUGUGAAAUACGAUUGACUUGAUCUCUCUAAAGGGUACGUAGGCAGUCUAACGAGAAGUUAGAUGCAUCCAUAAAAUAAAUGAGAUCGAAUUUUAGUGGAAAAUCAUCAAAUUGCGAAGUGUUAGAAUGGUUAUUAACAUAAAGGGUAACUAUGACAUUUUUGGCUUACCACUAAAUGUAAAUUCUGAAAUAUAUUGGCGGGGCAUUACAUAGUCUCCGAAGGCCCAACCAUCACCCCGAGGGUGAAGCUGUACAACACGAGGUUACACCGCUGAAGAAACAUGAUAGGUCCCAUUACCCGAAGGUGAAACUGUACGACUCUGGGUUACGCCAUAGAAGAAAUAUACAUAACACGGACACUAGCUGUGGCUAGUGAAGCUGUCCGACACUAGUUUCGCCAAUGAAGCUAGGCGUAUGUCAUAAAUAUCUCACUACUCAUCAAACUGUGUCCUAUGGUCAUAAACAGAUACAUACUCGUGUUGUGUUUAUGAGUUGUAUGAUUACCCACUAAUAAGUACAAAAAACAUAAAUAAAACUUUUCAUAUCAAAUCCUCGGAGCUCAAAAGCUCAAACAUCAUAUCAUAAAUCCAUAGGAGCGUUCUAGCUGAAAUCAUCAUCAUAAACCAUAAUAAAUCAAUCAUGUGAAAUCAUAAAUUCAUAUAAAUCCGUAAUAUUUCAUAAGGCGUAAAUCCAAUAAUUCGUAACGUUUCGUAAAACGUAAAUUCGAUAAAUUAUAAAUAUAUUUCAUGAAACAUAAAAUCAGGAAAUCAUGCUUUUCAUGAAUGCAAUACGAGCAUUUAAUAAAAAUUAUGCAUUUUGAGAAGAGGGUCACUCACAGAUACUUGUGAGGUCGCAGCCGUUUGAACUAGGAAAGUCGGAGUCUCCAAUAGUAAUCGCACCUAAGCAUAAUAUUGGGACCCAUUCGUAAAACUCAACUAAAACUUUUAAAUUUGGGAAAACAGAGUGCAAAUUUGGAUCAGGGCGUUGAAAUAUCCUAAGAGGAGUCCCGGGCAAAUUUCGUAAAAAGUCAACGGGAAAGUCAAUGGUCAACUACAUUAAAACUUUAGAAUUUCACUAAAUAGAUGUCAAAAACAGCUUGGGGCAUCGAAAUAAGCUUAGGAGAGUUUCCGAAAAAGUUUAGUAAAAGUGGACGCAAAGAAUAUUUCAAAGAAUAUUCUAAGAAUAUUCCAAAGAAUAUUUCAAGAAUAUUUCAAAUGAUUUAUUAUUAUUAUUUUAAACUUUGGUCAUGUCACGUUUUGUUUUGCAUCCCCUUCAGGUAGAAUCGAGGCAUACGAUCCCAAUGUCAAGGUACUCCCACAUCGGUAUCUUCAAGUCCUCGGUGUAGGAUUCACUUUCUUUGUAAUCACAUUUAUUUCAUAAUAUUCCUUUUGCACUAUUCUUGAUUAGAUGUAUGUUUUGAACACAUUCCCGGAUCCACACAUUUUCAUUAUAUUUAAAUUUAGGGACACUUUGGAUGCAGUCCCUAACUACCAAUAUUCUUUGAUCGAAGUCCCUGAUAUUAAUGUAAUAAUAUAUUUCUAUGUAGGUUACUAUAUUCUUAAAUUAAAGUUAUUUAUAUUAAUGAGAUUUUAAAUAAAACCCAUAAUUUAUAGGGAGUUUUAACGAAAAGACCACGGUUCUGUUCACUUUAACGAAAAAUCACAUUUUUACACUAAAAAGUCAAUCAUUGUACUAUUCACUUUACUCUUUAUUUUGUCCUUGUCGUUAAAACUCAAAGUUUUCGAACCCUUUUUAUUAAUUUUCCUUAAUUUAUGGAAGUAAAAAUAUUAAAGAUGAAUUAUACUCUCCAAUAUAUUGCGCAUGUGUGUAUAUACACACACAGGGGCACGUUCUUCAAAGCUAACUAAACAAUUAUUGUACCAAAAUAUGGGUACAUUUUUCAAAACACAAAAAAAAAAGGCUUAAUAACAUUAUCAAAUUUCUUUUAUUAAGCUUGACAUGGAUACAUUCUCAAAUCAACGAAAUAGAAUGUGCUCAUAUAGUUAAAAAAAAGGUACAUUUUUCAUAUGACAAAUUAGUAUAGUUAAGAAUUGAAUUUUUUUUUUAUAAAAAGUUAAUGGUUACAAACUUAUUCUAAUUUUAUUUUUUUAUAUUUUGGAAAUGUUUGAAUUGAAAAUUAAUUAGGAGUUUAAUAAGGGUGUGAGUAUUAAAACUCUAAAUCAAUUACUAAUUUUUAUUAUAAAAAUUAUGUAACUUACAUAAAAUUCAUUAAUAUAUUAAUACUAGGGACUUUGAUCAAAAUCUAAAAACUAAUAAGGUCUUAGUUAAUAAACAUUAGAAACCAGGGACCAUAUACUAAUUUUUUUACUUAUUUUAUUUAUGUUCAUUUCUUCUUUAUAACUUGCAUGCAUGUUAAACAUAGCUUCGUCAUCCUUGGGUGCUGGCCAGCACGUGCCUAUCCUAGUAUUUGGGGAUAUCGAGAUCAGGGCGUGUCGCCAUAUGAGAGGGUUUCAACAGAAUUGUGGUUCAUGGAGCCUUGUGAUUUGACUACUAGAAUUAUGGCUAUAGGAUACCGAUGUUUACACACCAUUUGCAAUUGGUGUCCAUAGACAUAAAGCAAGCACUCUUAGUUUUUUUUGGUGUCUUUAUAGUUGGAUGCCACUGAUAUCGGUGGCCUUCAAAAUUUAGACACCAACCAUUGGUGUCUGUUAAAUAACUUUUAUUCUUAAAAAUACUUUUUUUGUGCAUUUGUGAUUAACUGGGCACCAAUACAAUUUAUUGAACACCAAUACAACAAAUAAAAAUUGAGAGCUAUUCUCUCCCCUGUGAGAGUCUUUCUCACUGUUGUGUGAGUGGUCUUUUGCUCUCUUUGAUUUGCGUCGGCGCCGGCCUUAGCUUUGGUUAGGGUCGGUGCCAGUCCUUUGUUUUUCAUGUGUGCUUUGUUUCUGUGGUUUGUUGGGUUUUAGCUUUUUUUGUUGCCUGUAUGUUUUCCUCCCCUUCUCUGCCACUUUCACGAUAUGCUUCUAUCCUUUCUCCUUUUACUUUUGAUCUCACCUUUUUGAGACCAAACCUCAAAUCCCCCGUUUCCUACAUCCUCUUUGACCAUUUCCCCCUCUUUGACCCACCCCCUCCAUCUACUGCAUCAUCUUGGCCUACCAUCUAUCCCCCAUCUUUCACCCUUACCUCUGUCCUCAAUUCCGGUUGGUUACCGUCUCAGUUUACCGCGAUCUAUCGCGGAUCUUUGGGAGGAUGUGUAGAGCUUUAGAUCGGGUGUUCGCAGCACCACCACCCUUGUUGAUUGUUGUUGGUCUUUCCCGUAGUUCACCCUUGCCGACGUUAUUGCUCGUGGGUUCUCCCUGCGUGCUUCCUUGUUCUCCUGACGACGGUUCUUGCUGGUACUUUGAGAAAGUUGUGGCUUUUGUCUUAAUCAUUUCUAUGGUUUUUGGUGGUGUGAUCUUAAGUGAUCGUGAUUGGAGGCUAACCAUGACGUUUGUUGGGAGGCUCUCCGGUGUUGGUUUCGGCGUCUCCAGCUUUUAGAAGACUAGUUUUUUAGGUUUUUCUAUGUUGUUUGUUUGUGUGUGUUGUACUCUAAGGUUGGGCUUGGGGCUUUGCCUUUUGUUUGUGUGUGGCCCCUUUUUGUUUGUGUAUAACUUGUUUUGGGCCUUUGUUGUACUUGUGUUUGUUGAUAAUAAAUUUUACCCUUUGUCCAAAAAAUAAAAAAAAACCAAAUAAAACAAAUAAAAAAACCAUUAAACCUCUCUCCCCUUCACAAAAGUCCAACUCCUCCCCUUCAUUCCCUCUGAUUGCUUCCCCAUUCAUUCUAAGCUCCUCCCUCCCGUAUCCUCUCUCUCCCUCUUCUCUUUCAUGCAGCAGCGGCUCCGUCCUCCGGUCACCAACCAACGUCAAACUAUACCUCCAGAAUUCUCUUCCCUUCCUCUUUCCAACCCUCAAGUUAGUUUCUCCAAAUUUGUAGCUGAAUUUUCUUAAUUUCAGAUCUAAAAAACGGUGACCGUGGGUAUUCCGGCCAAUUUCCGGCGAAGUCUGCCUGAAUUGGACCUCAACCAAGAGGUAAAAAUGAUCCUCUCCUCAUGGCUGUUCCCUAGUGUAAGUGAUUUCUCAAAAUAAAAACUUUCAAUUUUUGGAUCGAUUCUAGAUUUCAAAUUUUAAUUCCAUUUUCUAUAUGCAUGUCGAAGAUUGGGGACGAGGAAGGUGAAUCAAGGUUGUUUCCAACCUGGGCCGAGAAGAAUGGAAGCCUUGGAACAUUGUGGGCGAAACUAAGGUGAAGAGGGUUCUUCUAAAAAAAUUAAGGUGAACAAGGUGAUUUUCUCCUUAACCACAACUAUUACAUUUUAUCUCUUGCUUGGAAUUUUUUUUAAAAUUCCCAGGAUCUGCUUUGGCAAUACUUUUGAUGGUAAAAAAGAAGCAGCUGCUUUUAUAAAGCUUUUGUAGUCUCAAGCACGGUAAAUAUAAUAGCACUAGAAAGUGAGGAAAUCCACUUUCUUUGGUCAGGUUGGAUUCUCUACUAUGACUACCAUUUUUAUCUCUAAACAAAUUUUUAAUGGUAUGUAUGAUAUAAAAAGGUAAAUUUAACUAUUUUGGUUUCUUUGUUCUCACGCUUUGGUGCCUCGAGUUUUAAUUUUUCAUAGUUGUGUCUGAGUUUUUUUCCAGUUACAAUUCGGGAGUCAUUGGCAACUUCUACGGGACCAAAAUUGUUUUUAGGUCAAAAUACAGGAACCAAAUCAUAACUAGACUAGGAGAUUACAUUACAUUACCAAAGUAGGAAAGUUCAGUCUUGAUUCAGAGUUUGGCAACAUAAUAUGUAUGUAGGAUGUUGUUUUAGAACCGCUUGGUAAGUGUUAAAUACAUCUUAUAACAUGACUAACUAACAAGCAUGGUCGUUCAGAUAUACAUGCAAUUGAGAUCACUGAUUAAAUCAGAUUUCUUUUAUAUUGAAGCAAAUCUUGCCUAUUAGGUGUUUGUAAAAAUUCCCCAAAGAGUUAGAAGUAGGAUAUGAUGCAAAUCUGAAUGUAGGCUGUUUUGGUAUGUGUGUGUACGUAUAGGGUGUUAGAAUAAAAGUUAGUAUUGUUUUACACUGCCAGGUGUCACAAUUGUAUUGGAGAUUCUAGAAGUUAGUUAUGUGUGAUUGUAUUUAUAAGGAUGUAUGAUGUAAUAAUUGAGAUAUAAUGAAAUAAUAGUUUCUCUCUCUACACUCUCUCUCUCUCUCUUCAAAGCUCUCUAGUUCUUCUCUGCCUUUCACCAUAGCUUUCUCUUAGUGUUAUCAUGGUAUCUUAGCCAGCCAUGGUUUACACCAUUGCUUAACGAUUCCUAUGCUUCCGCUCAUCUUCAUCAUUCCGGUGACCGAUAUUGGUGGCUGUUUGCUGGUUAUUAGUGAUUCCGGUCAAGUGUCGAUUACUCAAAAAAAAAAAAAACCCUAAGUCGGUGGAAUUUCUUUUUGUCGAUUGUUUGAUUCUGUCAUCGGAGAUUGUUGCUCUGUUCGUCGAUCUUUGCAAUUGCUACUGCUUCGCAAUUUGUUUAGCCGUGGUGGUACAAUUGAGGUGUUUUCUCUCAAUUCUUGCUACUUAGUAUUGUUUAUUGAUAGUUCUGUGUCAAUCAAAUUGUUGAUUUUUGGGCAAUUCUUGCUGCGUGAUUCGUUGUGCUUCUGUUUAUUUCUUGAGUAAAGGAGUUGUGUUCUUGAAAGUUAAUUUCAUUGUUGAAUUGUUGAUCUCUGUUGGUGCAUUAUGGUUACCACUUCACAAUUAGCCCUUACACAAUCUCCAAUUUCUUCACUUAUACCUAGUGUUGGAAACACAGUUACUGUGAAAUUGGAUUAUUCAAAUUAUGUUACUUGGAAUUUUCAGAUAUCAUUGUUACUAGAAGGGAAUGAAAUUAUGGGGUUUAUUGAUGGAUCCAUUCCAUGUCCUUAGAAAUAAACUGAAUUGGAAUCUGAUGAUGAGUCGGUUGUUAAUACUUCUCCACUGACUGAUGCUUAUAAAGUUUGGAAAAUCCAUGAUAAAGCUCUUAUGACCUUGAUCACUGCAACACUCUCUACUGCUGCAUUAUCUUGUGUUAUUGAAUGUCAAAGUGAAGGAUUAUUUUGUGAAAACAUGUUCAUUUAAGCAACAUCUAUAAGCAUGCAAUUAACAAUUAAAGGCGGAAUCAUGCUUGCAUGCACUUAAAAACAAAACAUUAACCAAGAAAUUCAAAGCCUAGUAGAUUGGUUAACCAAAACUCAACUCAAAACAAAGUGAGUUGAAAUUGUACCUUUGUAGAUUCCUCUUUGCAUAAGCAAAGGCUAAUCACCCAAAGAGAGGGCCUUCAUUCCUUGCAUCUAAAAUCUAUGGAUUUGGAUGGAUGAAAAGGUUUCUCCAAGUUCCCAAAAUUGAGAACCUCUAAGUCUCCACACCAAGGAGAGAUUGGAGAAGAAAAUGAGUGACAUUGGAGUAGUAGUAUGGCUAGAUACACCCUCCAAGGGGCCGGCCUCUUUAGAGAGAAAUGGAGAGACAUGUUCUCUCCAAUUUUCUCCAAAACAAACCCUUAAUGAAUUUUGGCUAUAAAGUCAUAUUUAUACCUUAAUUCAUUGGAGUGGCAAACUUGUAAAUAAGUCCAAAACCCACUCCAAAAGCAUCAUGGCCGGCCUUGGGGUUUCAUUGGGCCUUUUAGGCCUUUGUGAAUCAUUAUUCAUUAAGUUGUCAUACAACUUAAGUCAAUGGGCUUGACGUUCGAAGCCCAUUGGGCCUUAAGGUCCAAAACUAUCCCGAGGUCCUUAACGAACUUAUUCGUUUGAUUAAUUAACAUAUUAAUUAAUCAUUGCCAUAAAUAAUUAAACCAUUUAAUUAUUCUUACUCAUCUCCAUUGUUUCUUCAAUCUCCACCUUACACGGUGUACGAUCCAUUAGGUUCCUUUUAGCGAGGUAGUGGGCGAUUAAAACCAUUUUACAUCGAUUGUGAAUUGAAACUUACUUUCAAUUCUCCCUUUAGUGAUUACACACGUUUAGGGCUUCCACAAACCAUGAGUGACACCUAGCAGCAUAUCAUGGUUACCCAAGCUAAUCAGAAGAGGUGGAGAACCUAUUCAGUUUAGGAUUACAAAUGCAAUACAAUCUUUCUCUAAUACAAUACUCUUGACCACAUUGUUUGGUUUGAUAGUUUAUUUAUUCAUGUCUACUAUCCAAUGUGAUUCGUGUGCUUAUAUGAUUACCUUAAAUGUGAUUUGGAACGCUUUCCUAAAUCUCAUUCAUACUCUGGCCAGAGGUUCUAAUCAUAUCAUAGAGUAUUCUCCCUCAAACGGUUUGAAGGUUAGAGAUCCCUUGUUGCGCAUUCACUUGUCUCCAUGACUAAGUGGCUUAACCCCAAUGAUGUCGUGGACACCCCGAUGGGGUGACUUUGACAUAAUCAAAGAUCAAGGACUUAACCACAAGACAACUGUGAUGCCUCAGGUCAAAUGACUACUUUGCAUUAUCCCAACCAUGAGUUCUCAUGUGACAUGAAUAUGAGAACUCUUCGUUGAUCCUGUUCAGUGAACUCAUUCUCUAUUGAGCACCUACGUACUUGACUUGAUGUCACACACACCAAUGACUCGAGACUAGUCACUCUCCUUGAGAGAAGACACAGUACGUACUGAUCUUAACGGACUGUCAAUGCCCAAUUGGCAAUCCUAUGAUCCGGAACAUUUAGGAUGUGUCUACGAAAGAAUGGUCUCAUGAAUCUAACUUUUUUAGAUCGUAUUCUCCCAAUCACAUAUUCCUUGGACUUAUCGUUUAAGCAUAUAACAUUUAUAUGAGACGGCUCAAACAAUAAUCUUUGCCCUUGAUAUUAAACUAGAUUAGUUUAACAUGUGAAAUGUCCAUAAAGUAUCAUCAUAUGAUUGGUUUUAGGGCACAUUUCCAACACAAAGCUCUAGUGAUAUGUGGAAUAGUUUGAAAGAAAGAUUUGCUCAUAUGACUCGCACUAGCAUUGUUCAAAUGAAGAUUGAUCUGCAGAACAUUAAGAAAGGGCCAGAAUCCAUUGAUGCUUAUUUGCAGAGAAUUAAAGAGUGUAGGGAUCAAUUAGCUACUGCUGGUGUUGUGAUUUCUGAUGAGGAUAUUGUCAUUGUGGCUUUACGAGGAUUACCUACAUAAUACAAUACCAUUAAGUCUGUGAUUCGGGACAGAGAGAGUUUGGUUACAUUGAAAGAGCAUAAGUCUCAGCUCAAGGCCGAAUAGUCUACUUUGGAAGAAGUUCUUAAACCACCACCUUUAAUGGCAGCUAUGUUUGCCAAUACUUAUGGUCCAACUUAUGAAAUUGGUGGCUCUUCCAACUCUAACUCACAUAUUGGCAGCUUUGAUCUUGGAUCUCAUGGUUCCUCAUUUUCACCAAUGGCUUAAUUUCAACAAUUACCAUUUCCUUCUUCCCAAGGUCCUGUUGCUUUUGUUUCUCAAACUGGUUCUGGAACUUAUAACAAUUUUAGGGGGAAUAACUAUAGAUCCAAGGAUAAAGGGAAGAGGUUCCAUGCUGGUUAUCAACAACCUUCUGGAUAUCUAAAUUUUGCACAACCUCCACUCCAAUCUCAGUCACAGUUUCAAAAUCCUGGAAAUCAAAUGGUUUCAGGUGAAUCUUUUCAACCAUUACUUGUUUUCCAAAUAUGUGAUAAGAAGGGACAUGUUGCUUUAAACUGCUUUCAGAAUGGCUGCCAAAUCUAUCACAGAAAGGGACACACAGCUGCCACUUGUUUUGACAAGAAUAAUCUUGCAUCUAUGACUGUGCCUAUGUCUCAGACUUUCUUCCCAUCUCUUAUGAUGUUUCAGCAACAUUCAUAUCCUUUUACUCCUUCACAGUUGCAGCUACAUCUUCAGUCUCCAAAUUCUUUUCCUUCUCAAGUGCAGCCUUCCACUAUGAUGUCUUAAUCUCAGUUUUCUAAUGGGGUGAUAUAUUCUCAACAAAAUUCACCUGUUGCUUUUAUUGCCAGAACCAAUUUCUCUCCAACAGCCCCACAACAAGAGUAUUGGUUGCUGGACUCUGGAGCAACUAAUCAUAUAACAUCCGAUCUCUCUAAUAUGCAAGUUACUACUCCAUAUGCUUCCUCAGAGACUGUGACUGGUGCUAAUGGUGAAGGUUUACAAAUUUCACACAUUGGUCAAGCUAGUAUAUCUACUCCUUCUCAUACACUUGAGUUAAAAUUUGUGUUACAUGUUCCACAACUAUCACAACACUUACUGUCUAUGUAUCAAUUAUGCAAAGACAACAAUUAUAGGUGUAUUGUUGAUGAGUUUUCUGUGUGUAUACAAGACAAGGUCACCAACAGGAUUCUAUAUCAAGGACUGAGAAACUAAGCUGUCUACCCACUUCCUAUUCUCAAAUCACCAAAGACAAAUCCUGCAACAUUUCUUGGACAGAAAAUAAAUGCUUCUCUUUGGCAUUGCAGAUUGGGUCAUCCCACCAAUUCUGUAACUCAAGUAGCUCUUAGUAAGUCAGCCAUUAAUUUCCCUUGUAAUUCACCACCUCAAACUUGUACUGCUUGUUUACAAGGCAAGUUCACCAAGUUGUCUUUUCCUAUAAUGGCUUCAAAGUCCCUUGUUCCUUUUGAAGUCAUUCACACAGAUGUAUGGGGUCCCUCUCCUACUAAGUCUAUAGAAGGGUAUAGCUACUAUGUGUCAUUUAUUGAUGAAUGUACACGAUAUACAUGGAUUUUCCCCAUGAAUAAUAAAGCUGAUGUCUUUGAGAUAUUUGUCCGAUUUCAUGCUUAUGUUCACAACUACUUUUCUGCAAAUAUUAAAGUUUUGCAAAGUGAUGGUGGAGGUGAAUAUGUUAGUACUCUUUUUCAAAACUUUAUCACAACCAAAGGCAUUGUUCAUAAAAAAUCUUGUCCAUACACCCCUGAACAUAAUGGUUUAGCUGAAAGAAAGAAUAGGCAUCUUGUUGAAACUGUUGUUACAUUACUUCAAAAAGCCUUCUUUUCAUCUAAGUUCUGGUUUCAUGCAUGUGCCACAGCUGUCUAUCUUAUUAAUAGACUGCCUACUUCUAUCUUACAUAUGCAAUCGCCAUUCGAAAUGUUGUAUAAAUCUCCACCUCCAGUUGAUCAUUUAAAGGUUUUUGGCUGUGCUUGUUACCCUUCCUUAAAACCUUAUAGACAUCAUAAACUUGAUCCUAAGACUACUCAGUGUAUUUUCUUGGGAUAUGUUGCUCAAUAUAAGGGGUAUGUAUGCUAUGCUAUAAGGGAUAACAAGUUAAUUGUUUCCAGGCAUGUUUUGUUUGAUGAAACUGUUUUUCCUAGUGAACAUGGGAUGUCUUCUUCAUUUUCUAGUCAUGCUAUAUCUUCUAAGUCACUUCCAGCUACCAUAACUCAUCCUACUACAUUUCAUCAUCCUCCCAUUAUUCCCAUACCAUUUCCACACAUUUCAUCUUCUCCGAUACCUGUUACUCAGUCCUGUUCCCAAUCAAAUGGUGAUCUUGGUCCUACUUGAGGUGUUUCUACUUCAGAGUCUCCAUCUUUCUUGAUGCUAUCUGAAAAUCAUCCUGAUGUAACUAGUUCUUAGGCUCCAGAUUUGCAACAAGUAUCUAUGAUCAGUCUUAAUACUCAUCCAAUGCAAACCAGGUCCAAGUCUGGAAUUUUUUAAAAGAAGGCUUUUUCUGCUUCUAUUCAAGCAGAUUCAUCUCUGGACAAGGAACCUCAAUCUUUUUGAGUUGCUGCUAAAUCCUCUCAGUGGCAACAAGCAAUGACAGAAGAGAUUGAGGCAAUUUUCAAACAGAAAACGUGGACACUAGUUCCUCUCCUACUUCAUAAGAACUUGGUGGGUUGUAAAUGGAUAUAUAAAGUGAAAAGACAUCCUGAUGGAUCGGUUGCCAGGUAUAAGGCUUGUUUAGUGGCCAAGGGAUUUUCUCAAGAAGCUGGUCUCGAUUACUAUGAGACUUUUAGCCCUGUGGUUAAGCCUACAACAAUUCGGUUGAUGUUGUCAUUGGCUGCAACAAAGGGCUGGAAACUUAAGCAGCUAGAUGUGAAAAACGCUUUUUUGCAUGGCUUUCUAGAUGAGGAAGUAUACAUGUCUCAACCACAAGGGUUUGUUGACAAGGAUCAUCCAGAUUUUGUAUGCAAAUUAGAAAGGUCUUUGUAUGGCCUCAAACAAGCUCCCCAAGCUUGGAAUGAAAGAUUUUCUAGAUUCCUUCUCAGUUUAGGGUUCAAAGCUUCAUAUCCCGAUCCUUCUUUAUAUGUCAAGAGUGAUGGUCAUUCUCUUGUUGUGUUGCUAUUAUAUGUUGAUGACAUUAUACUCAGUGGAGAUGAUGAUUCUCUUGUUCAGUAUGUGAUUAAUCAAUUAACCAGUGAAUUCGAUAUGAAGGACUUACGGGUCUUACACUAUUUUCUUGGGUUACAGAUUGAGUAUCAACCUUAGGGAUUGCUAGUUUAUCAGUCUAAGUAUAUCAAGGACUUGCUGCAUAAGGCACAUAUGUUUGAUAGUAAGCCUUGUACCACUCACUGUCAUCCUUACCAAAAGCUCUUAAAUCAUGGUAGUCCUCCAUUUCAUGAUCCAGGUCUUUACAGAAGUAUAGUUGGAGCCUUACAGUACUUGACUUUCACUCGACCUGAUAUAGCCUACUCAGUCAAUUAGGUAUACCAGUUUAUGCAUUCUCCUUUUGAAAGUCAUUUUGUUGAUGUGAAAUGAAUCUUGAGGUAUCUCAAAGGAUCUAUGACUCUCGGUUUGUGCUUUAGACCUGGUAAUCUGGAUAUACGAGCUUACACAGAUGCUGAUUGGGCUGGGGAUCCUAAUGACAGAAGGUUAACCACUGGUUUUGUUGUAUUUUUAGGUGAUAAUCCGAUUUCUUGGAGUUCUAAGAAACAUCAUACUGUUGAGGAUGUGUGGAUUCAACAGUUACUCAAUGACCUAUUUCUCUCUUCUGCAACAACUCCAUUGCUCCACUGUGAUAAUAUAUCAGCUAUAGCCUUAGCAACUAAUCUCAUUUUACAUUCUAAGGCUAAACACAUAGAGAUUAACUGUCAUUUUGUGUGGGAAAGAGUGCAGCAAGGCACAAUUCUGUUGCAGUUUGUUAAUUCCUCAUAACAGUUUGCUGAUAUUCUUACCAAGGGUCUAUGUUUUCCAUUGUUUAAUUCUCAUUGCACCAAUCUUAUGCUUGGGAAUGCCCAGCAUAAAAUUGAGGGGGAAUGUUAGAAUAAAAGUUAGUAUUGUUUUACACUGCCAAGUGUCACAAUUGUAUUGGAGAUUCUAGAAGUUAGUUAUGUGUGAUUGUAUUUAUAAGGAUGUAUGAUGUAAUAAUUGAGAUAUAAUGAAAUAAUAGUUUCUCUCUACACUCUCUCUCUCUCUCUUCAAAAGCUCUCUAGUUCUUCUCUUCUUUUCACCAUAGCUUUCUCUUAGUGUUAUCAUGGGGGUGUUAUAUUGAUACGACAUGCUGCCUAAUUUUUCUAUUUUUGGAUUGCUAGAUCAAAGAAGGAAGUUCAAUUUAUCAAGGAUAAAGGUUUGGACUACUAGACAGCAUGCCGCCUUCGGUUUGAGGUAUGGAAGUUUCGUGCUUACAAUCUGGCCGCUUACGUGUUUAAAUUUCUGGUUUAUCAAUAUGCUCAAGAUUUGGUUAGCAGGUAGUUAUGCUAACAAAUCAAAAUUCCUUUAAGAAUCUGGUUGGUAAUCUUGGUAACCUCUAUAUUUGUGUAAAAAUCAAGAGCCAUCUGCAUAGUCCUAUGCUAAUGAGCUGCAAGUAAAACUUCAGUAAUAAUGUGUUUUUGUAUUUCUUUCUAGCGAUCAACUCUUUACGCUCGAAAUUUGGCGAUUAGGACUUGCCUUUGAUUUUAUUCGGUGCAGCAGAGUUUUUCUUCGAUUUGUUCAUCUUCUUCCUGAUUUUUGUUCCAUUUUUUUUAUAUUGUUUUGGGAUAUGUGAAUGUAAUUUUUUGGGUAUUUCUUUGCUUCAAUUCUCUCUAAUUUUUUGUUGUUUAGUUUGACUGGUAUUUCCCUAUUUGUUACCCAAACAACAGUCCUCUUAGAUACUACUUGCUUGGAGUACCAUAUACCUAUAUAGUAGUUUGAAACCUGACCUAGUUUGAAGAAACCUAGCUCAAACAUCCCACCUGCAGAGAUAAUGGUUUGAUCGCCAGAGAGAGAUUUGCAUGACAUGAUUAAGCUCUUUGGAAACAGAGUGUUCAAACACUUUUCAAAGUUUGAGUCCCAACAUUUGUUCAAAAUUGUAUAAAAGAUCAGUUAUGGAAAUUUGUGUUAUAUUCUUAUAUCAAAGAUAUUACAAUUUGUUUCCUCACCCAAAAAAGAGAGGAAAUAUUCCUAUUCAAAUCUGGGUGCCCCCGGAGGCAUCUUUUUUUUUUUAAUAUUAUUUUGCAACUUUGCCACCAAUGUGAAUUAGGGUGGCAUUGUUUGCAGAUGACACCAAUGCAAUAUUGGUAGCCAUUGUUACAAUAGAGUCCUCUACAUAGGCCAUGUUCUCUAGUUUAGUGGCUGCUUUGUGGCCAUUUAGGUUUGCCACCAAUGAAAGUGUCCACACUUGACAAUAGACACCAAUGAAAAGGGUGGCUUUUAGCCAAAAUUCUAGUAGUGUUUGGAGUGCUACUAUUAUAAGGACGUGGUCGUUGUAUCUUGGGAGACAAGAGCCGAUCAACCAUGAGCAUCGUAGUGGGGCGUAAACGUGUCUUAAUGAUAGAGUGUCUAACACUUGCCUCAACAAUAUUUCCACAUUUUUCAAAUCCAUUAUGUCAUGUUCAUUUAACAUUGAUUACUCAUGCGCAUGCAUUAAUUUUGAUAUAUAAUUGCAUGAAUUAUUUCUUAAUUUUCUAUGUGAUUUAAUAUAGCAAUAGACCAUAUUUUUCAAGUUCGUCUACCCAAGGAGAUUGCCGGUAUAUUACGUACAUAUCAUAACUGAAGAAGGCAUCUACUUUUCAGUGUGUAGAAAAAUAUUCUUGUAUGAUUUAUUUCAUUCCCAAUUACACAAUAUAUAAGAUACAUCGGUAUAAUGGUUGAUUACAAUUGAAUGGAUUACACAACAAGAUAUGAAAUAGCCAACUUUCCAUUAUUGACACCAUCUUAUUGAUGAUAGAGAGAUUUGUUGUGAUGAUGGAGAUGAGAGAAUCCCGAUGUUGACCUUAAAAACUAUUUAGCCUACAUGACGCACAUGCCGAAUAGUUAAUAAGCUAACUACAUCCAUCGGUUGAUUACAGGGCUUGCCAAAUCGUCGGUCGAGCUUGGGCGGGGAGUGAAUGAGUUGAUGUGGCGUUGUGCGCGCUGAUGACUUCUGAAUCUUGUGACUGCGGCUGAAGAAGGAACACGUCUCAACCUUCGAGUUGUACAGCCUGAAGACAAGGCUGUUAGUUCUGCGAAUUUCACGAAUCGUGGGCACUGGGUUCAGCAAUGGCGAAUCGAUACCGAAUUGUAGAGGCACAAGUAUUUUGAGAUAUGUGUCUUGAUUGUAAAUAUGAUUCAACUGUUUGAGUGUCGAACUCUGAAAUGCACUUGUGAGUAUCCUAUCAUAUACUAAGUUCGGCCUUCAGUGUGCCAAACGUCGUAACUUGGUAACACUUUACUUCAUUGAGAAGGCUAAUAAGAUGACCUUUUCCAACAAGGACUCAACAAAUCCUUGUUGAUCGAGACUUGGAUAGAUAACCAGUCGGUCGCGAAGAAAUGUUGUUUAUCCAAACUGAAGGUGCUCUUCAAUAGGCUGAUUCUACAGCUCCAGUGUUGUUUAUCCAAACUAAAGAUGUUGCCAGUUGCCAACAUAAUGUUGUUUAUCCAAACUCAAGGUAUAUUGGUGUUAAAAAGGUAAAAUAAAAAUCUCAAGAUGUGUGAGAGGUUUUGCAUAGAGCGAGAGUUUACGCAAGGCAGUUUUGUGUGUUGGUCUAGAGGGGAUCUUAACUUCCUGUUGCUUCUUUAUUUAUAAAACAUAUUUUCACCUUGGCACGACCUGACAAUUUUGUAGAGUUCAAUAGAUUUAGAUCCCAUCUGGAUCCAAAUUGUAGGGAUCCUAUAGAUCCAAAUUGUUGGGAUCCUAAGGAUCUCCACGUCCUAGCCGUUCAUCGUAUAUCGUGCAGUCAGAAAUCUUUUUGAAUGAUGUAAGUAUCUCUAAAUCCCUAAAAAAAAAGAUCUGAAAAGAAUCCUCAUCUGAGUUCAACUGCAACUCAAACCAGUAGAAUUGAUCUAUGCCAUAGGCUAAAGCCUAUCCCCCAAUCAAAAACUUAUCACGUCACCAGAAAAAAAAACAAGUUUAUCUCCAUCAAAUCACUUCACUGAUCCAAGCCAUGCAUAUUUCCGUUGAUGAGACCGCGGAGAAAUUAUAGAGUAGUACUGUAGUACCACGUGGCAAGGCCAAAUGGUAGUACUCAUUAAUCAGAUUAAGAAACAUUUAAUUAUGAGAUAAUAAAAAUAUCAGUGUUCUAAAAAUCGGCCUAGGUAGCGCCUAGGCGCUGAGCGGUGGAGCUUUGACUCGAUUUAGACCAAAACGUUCAGUUAGGCGGGGAGGACUUAGGCGGCCGCCUAAGCUCUUGCUAGGAGCCUGAGGCGGGCUAAGCGACGCUAGGCGACAAUUUAGACGGUUUGAAUCCUGCUGCAAUUUUCGCAAAGGAUCUACAACUUUCGAUCUCGUACGUAGCAGCAGAGCCCCGGCGAAUUUCUACAGCUCGUCUCUGUGAAGAUGAGGGAAGAGAGAGUGCUAUCAGCAAAUUUUUGCAGCUCGUUUGUGAAGAUGAGGGAAUAUAAAGUGCGAUGAAAGAGAGAGAGACUUAAACAUUUCAAUGUGGUGGCACAAGUUGAGGAUUGGGAUCUCAAAUCCAAGGUUAAAAGCUGAUGGUUUUAUUUAUGAAAACCACCCAAGGUGGACGGUUGAUGGUUUUAAUAAUGAAAACCACGCACUAUGUGGGCUUUUUAUAUUUUUAAAAGUUUGGGAUAUAUUAUAAAGGUCGUACCCAGUGCACAAGGCUCCCGCUUUACGCAGGGUCUGGGAGAGGUGAAUGUCGGCUAGCCUUACCCCCAUUUAUGGAGAGGCUGCUCCCAAGUCUCGAACCCGAGACCUACCGCUCAUGGGCGAAGGCACUUGCCAUCGCACCAAGUGCGACCUCUUGGGAUAUAUUAUAUAUAUUACAAAUUAUUUAGAUAAUAUUUUGUUUUUUUUUCCUAGGCAAGCAUAGUAUAUACUAGAGAGACUCCCCAGUUCCCCCAACUUUUCCAGCUUCCUUCCGCUCCUAGAUGAGCAACGCAUGUACAUCCAAACUCCUUCCCUUCCUAGAUGACCAGCACGCAUACAUCCAACCUCCUUUCCUUCUUAGAUGACCAACACACUGCAUAAUGGGUAAACCAGUAAAUUCACUGUGCAAAAUGGAAAAUACGGGCUAAUAUCAAAGGAAUUGGAAGGCAUUUUCGUCCAUUCACUGUUAAUGAACAGUGUUUUUGUGUUGGGUUUUAGUAUAUGUAUAAUGUACAUAAAACCUUCACAUAUGUAUGUUCUUCUAUAAGAAAUAACAUAUUAGUCAAUAAUUAGUUACUUUUGAUAUAGUAAAUUUAAUUAAUUUAUAAAAUAUAUAACAAAUUUACCUAAAUCCGUCUAGGCCGCUAGGCCGCCUGUCUAGACCCCACCCAACCACUAAGUGCCAACCCGCCGUCAGACUAGCGCUUAACGUUUUUUAGAAUCUUGAAAAAUAUUUAUAAUUGUUUAAUUAUUUCAUUAACUAUCAAUAAAUCUGAAACCUCUCCGGCUUCUUCUCUCUCCUCUCUGUUCAUCGAGAAAUCUUUAACUUCAUCUCUUUCUUCUUCGUCUAUCUCCUCAUUGCCUCCUUUCUGUCGCAGAACUUCGUCCUCCGUGCGCUCUGCCGGUGAAUGACUACUGAUCAAAAUUUAAAUGAGACUUUUGAACCAAGGAGGUCCCUGUUCGAAAUGAGUUCGGCUUUCGUCACUGUUAAAAUUUAAAUGGGAAUGAGAGAGAUGAGUUCGAUGUCCUUCCUUCUGUUGUUUAGAUUUAUGUCAGAAGUCAGAAUUAUUCAUUUUGUUUCGAUCGUUUGUCUGUAAAACGUUCACCAAAAUAUUGCAUAUUUUGAAUGACCGGCCGACGAAAUUAGAUCCUCUCCGGACCAAUUUCAUAUGGACCCUCUGGACCAUUUAAUCCCGACUGUUCACCAUAGAAACGGCGGUGAGGACUAAAACUUUUUUUUUAUUUUAACUCUUCGCUCACCACGAAACAAUGAAAACAAGAAAUUAAAAGAUGAAAAUUGAAACACUUUUCAGAUUCUUUGCAGCUGAAAAUCAGUGAAAGGAUGAAAAAUUGUAUUUUUGGAUUUGUAGCAAUCUUGAAGGUUUGGAAAAUUGAAAUAGUUUUCAGAUUUUUUUUGCAGUUGAAAAAUAGUGGAAGGAUUGAAAGUUGUAGAUUUGCAGCAACCUUGAAGGUCUGGAGCUUUUCUUCAAUGAACGUCCAGAGCUUUGCUUCAAUGAAUUGUCUUGUGGGAGGAGAGAGAAGACAACAGACGAAGUUGAGGCGGUGAAGAGUUAAAUGCAUUAUUAAUAAAUUAUUAACUGAUUAUUCAAUUUAUCUUUCCACGUGUCUUAAUAUGAUUAGUAAGUACUAUCAUUUGGCCUUGCCACGUGGUACUACAGUACCACUUUAUAAUUUCUCAAAGACCGCGUGCAUGCACUAUGAUUCCUUCGUCAAAUUAAACUCUGACAUUUCAUUCGAAUUGAUGUAAUGUAAUCACCAUAUCUCAAGAUAAAGUUACGUGCUACAACCACCACAAUCACUCAAACAUGUUCAUGAAUUCCAAGCCAAUUUGAAUACUACCACUACUUCCAGAAUUGAGAUAUGACUUUGGGCUUUGAUAAUAAGCCACGUAGGAGAUUGCAUGCACUGGGGCUUGAUGUGAUAGUGUAUUCGAAUGUCUUCACGCAAUCUUUGAAAAUUGCACACGUGCCCACUUUUUAUUCCCAUGCAUAUUUAUGGAUCUCUCUUGCAUGUAUAUUAACCGUUUAUGGAUCUCUCUUGCAUAUAUAUGCAUAUGUACACGUUGUCGACUCCAGACUUCCUUCAUAUAUCCAUAGUCAUAGAUUCAAUUUGCUGAAAAAUUCUAGAUAGUUGGCUCAUCUGUCUACACCCACGAAACUAGAAGGUGAUAUUUUCUUGCUUAAUUGUAUCGCUUUGUUUGUAGGCUUUUGUUUUCUGUGAUCCAGAUGCUUUAUUAUACUAACGUUUCCUUGGCUCUUCGCCUCUGUUGAGGGAUCUUGUUUUUCUUGUUUAAGUUAUGCAUAUGUAAGCUAGACUAGUUAGACGAUAAUUUGAAAUCUCUCUACUCGUAAAUUGGAUUGGUUACAAAAAAAAAAUUGUCUUGUCGUAAAAGCUAAUUAAUAAAAACCGAUAUUGAUUUGGCUUUUUGGAUGGUUUUUUUAAGGAAAUAAUUUAAUCAAUGGAUGGGAUGGACUUAACACCCGAGUCAGCUCAAAAGUUGUUUGAAGGAGACGGAGGAGCAUAUUACAUUUGGUCGAGUUCAGAUGCUCCGGUGCUUGCUGAGGCCAAGGUUGGUGCAGGCAAGCUUGUUCUUCAACCUCAUGGCUUUGCACUUCCUCACUAUGCAGAUUCCUCCAAACUGGGAUAUGUUCUUCAAGGUAAGUAAUAACUAAUUAACUACAGCAUGCAAAUACAUAUAUAAAUAAAUGCAUUUAUAAAUAUCAUGUUCACGUAUGAGAGAUUUUUUUUUUAUUACGUCUGGAACACGAGAGAAUAUUAAUGUCACUGGAAAGUUUUUUUUAUUCAAGUGUCCAUCCAAUUGUAAAAUAACAUGUAGUGUUCUGUCUCGUUUUUCUAGUACACUAAAAAAUCUCUUCACCUACAUGUUUGCCUAUUUUAAUUAAUUUGUUUUUGUAAUUAAGAAAGAUGGAAAACAAAACUUUGUUAUUUGUUCAUCAAUGCCCUUAUUGUAUAACUAGCUAUAUGAUGGAAAACAAAAGUUUGUUAUUUGUUCAUCAAUGCCCUUAUUAUAUAACUAGCUAUAUGAUGGAAAACAAAAGUCAUACUUAACUUGCUAGACUAUAAUGCUUAUAUUAUUGUUGAAGAUCUUAAUUAGCUCUAAUGGUGAUGCAGGUGAUGAUGGAUUAGUAGGAAUGGUAUUCCCUAACACAUCAGAGGAGGUGGUGGUUAAGGUUAAGAAAGGAGAUGUGAUACCAGUACCAGUUGGAGCAGUCUCAUGGUGGUUCAACAAUGGAGAUCGCUCUGAGGAGCUUGUUGUUGUUUUCUUGGGUGAAACUGCCGGAGCUCACAUUCCCGGCCAAUUUACGUAUUUUUUGAUUGCCGGAACCCUAAGUCUACUUGCAGGUUUCUCAACUGAAUUUGUCAGCAAGUCCUUCAACAUCACCGAGGACGAAGCUGAUGACAUCACCGAAAGCCAGACUGGGGUUUUGAUCAUCAAGCUAGGUCAAGAUGAAAAGACCAAAAUGCCCCUUCCCAAUCAGAAACUCACCCACACACAUGUUCACAACAUUACUAGUAGUAAAACUACGGCCACAUUGACUGAGAAGGAAUUCCCUCUUCUUAAAGAAGCUGGGUUAAGUGCGAACCUCACGAAACUCGAGGCCGACGCAAUUAGCUCUCCAAUUUACGCACCUGAUUCCACAGUCCAGGUGAUUUAUGUUGCUCGAGGGAGUGGCCGGAUACAGAUUGUGGGUGUUAACGGUCAAUGUUUGUUGGACGCAGAGGUAACUGCCGGCCAACUGCUUGUGGUACCAACGUUCUUCAUGGUUGCUAAACUUGCAGGACAAAAUGGGUUGGAAUGUUUCACUGUCAUCACCAGUUCUCAGUAAGCACAUUGAGCUGUCACAACACCACUACUUUAAUUUCAAUAGUACCUUUUUUUUGUCUAUUUAUUAAAUGAAUUCAUUUCCAUAAUGAAGUACAAAUGAUUUCAUUUGGACACACAAACAAAUUGAUGCGCAUAUUAACGUACUCUAUAAUUCAAGUAGAUCUCACGUAUAAUAGUAUAAUCCAUUUGUAUUAAAAAGGGAGAAAGAUUCUCUCGCCUUUUAAUCUCUCUCCCAUUUCUUUCUCUCCUACUUGAACGGUUAUGAUUAAGUAACGUCAACAUCUUAUAUUUUAUUGAUUGUUUUAUAGAGACAAUAAGACAAAAACUAAUAUGUGAGAGGAGGGGAGGAAAAUGGAUGAGAAUAGAAGGGAAAGUAAUUUCAGUCUAUUAAAAAGUGUGUAAGUGUUGUAUGUAUAAAUAGUUUUAUUGCUGAACAUUAUUGUUGUGCAAAAUACUUUAAUUUCAGUAAGAAUAAAUAAUAUCGAAAUGUCACAACAACACUACUUCAAUUUCAGUAAUAUUUUUUUUUCUUUUCUUGAUGAAAUUAUUUGGAGACUGAAUUAUUGCUGUAUGAAACACUGUGUGUAUAUAUAUGUGUGUGCGUAUAUUAAUAUAGGGAUAACAUAAUUGGUAUUAUUUUUGCAGGCCUGUCCUGGAAGACUUAGCUGGAAAGACGUCAGCACUGGGAGCAUUAUCGCCGGAGGUACUACAAAUAGCCCUUAAUAUAAGUCCAGGGCUGGAACGACUUCUCAAGUCAAAGAUUAGAAAGGGCUGAUCGAUCAUGAUCAACGGUUCAACGGCCUAAUAAUUUAUCUUAUAUAUAUUAAUAAGCAGAUCAUCAUGCAUGAUAUAUUACUGCAAUGCAAGAGUGCGGUCGGAUCUUUCUGGUUAUCUUUAUUUUUAUGUGAUUUUCUUGAAUAAAAUUCUGCGAAUGGAUUACGGACGUGACAAUGUAAGGAUUCAGUAUUAAUAAAAUAGGACAAUAAAACUCCUAGAAAAGUAAAAGACUUCAGUUAAUACUAGAAAUAUAAUAAGCCACAAAUUUAAAGCAAGAUACAUGCAUUAUAGCUCUAAAAAUGCAUAUAUUUUUUCAUAUCAUUCUAAUCCCUUGAUGCCAUAGCUGCCACUAAUUUUAUGCAAUAAUGAUCUUGGUCCAUGGCCUGCAUCAGGUCGCUAGCAUCCUCUUUUCCUAAUUACCAUAGCAGUUGUUAUAUGACUUCAUAUAACAACUAGGUUGGAGCUAAGGUGAUGCAACCGAAAUGCACACAAGUAUUGUUUCAUAGGAAAACUAAUGAAAGGGGCUUGAAAACUUUGAGUUUUAACGAUAAGGACAAAAUAAAGGGUAAAGUGAAUAGUACCAUGAUUGACUUUUUAGUGUAAAAAUGUGGUUUUUCGUUGAAAUGAACAGUACCGGGAGCUUUUCAUUGAAGUUCCCUUGUUUCAUUUCACAAAGCACCCUACUGAAGCUACUACGCAUGUUAGCUAUAGAGGUCCAAUUUUCAAAAGAAAAAGCUGGCUACAAUCAUGUUAGCUACUCUACAUGAACAAACACAAUGCGUCUAUAGAAAAUAUACAUGCAAUCUAAUCAGUCUCCGGAAAAUUUAAAGGGAGCAAAAUAAAUGUCAACAUAUGCUGUCAAACAGUUUCUUUUAGGAAUUAUAUUGAACAGGUCGAUCCUCCCCUCCCGUCUGUUUUAGCAAUUUAUCUUAAGGUCUCCGCUCUAAGAGCUCCCUGGUAACAACAGAGGAGCCGACCCACCACCCCGUCGCGCCAGGCUUUUUUGUUUCACAAUAAAACCUGGACGAUUAUCCCUACCCUUGAUAGCUUAUGGGUUCACGUCCAUCCCCGAUUGGAUACUUUUGUUUAAAGAUACACGGUACUUUCUGCAUUCAAACCGGCCAACAAAAUCCAAAAGACCAGUCCGUGCUCACCAAACUAUAUAUUCGGUCUCCAUCAGAAAGACACCAAUUGAGUUCUUGUACUGGUGUAACUGCAAGGAUUCAUGUGCACAUCGUUCCAACCAUUCAAUUUUCAGUAAUUACUAGGGAGUAGGAUUCUCUCCCCUCCUAUUCUCAUCCCCUUCCCUCCCCUCCUCCCACACUUUGUUUUUUGUCUUAUUGUCUUUAUAAAAAAAUCAAUAUAAGAUGUUAACGUAGCUUAACUGUAACCAUUCAAGUACCAGGGAAGGAAAGGGGAGAGAAAUUAGGAGGGGAGAGAAUCCUCCACCAAUUACUAGUGCUCAACGUGCAAAAAAUAAAAUUGUACAAUGUACAUAACGGCCACCACUAAGUACAGAGUUCAGAUUUAGUUCCCACUGAAAUAUUCCUUCUCGGCCAUAGCGUGAAAUGAAGCUCAAAAGAGUAACGCAGAGCCCAACUAUAUAUGUUUACGAUACAAUAUAGUUCUCAUUGGCUAGAAUUCUACAAGGAUAGAACCGAUGAAGGAGAGUUGGAUAGAACCGAUAAGAACUAUGAAAGGUAUGAGAUAGCAAAGAAUGAAGUAGAGAAAGCCAUCAGCGAAGCGAAGCUAGCGGCUUUUGACAACAUGUGUAAGCAAUUAAAUACUAAAGAAUAAGAGUUAGAUAUUUAUAAAUUGGCCAGAACAAGGGAAAGGAAGACAAGACUUUAACCAAGAAAGGUGCAUCAAGGAUGAGAAUGGAAAUGUUCUAGCUAUGGAGAAUGCGGUUAUAGACAGAUGGAUAGCUUAUUUUCAUAAUCUCUUCAUUGAAGGACACGACAUGAGUACUUAGUUUUUUGGAUGAGUUGAGUGACUCGGAAGAGUGUAGAAUUACUUCUUUUACCGCUGAAUUAGGAAAGAGGAAGUGGUUGUAGCUUUGAAAAAAUGAAGCAUAGAAAGCAGUGGGUCCAGAGAUAUACUGAUCGAAGUGUAGACGGUCUUGGGAAAGACGGGUAUAACAUGGCUCACAAGCCUUUUCAAUAAGAUUUUAAAAAUGAAGAAGAUGCCCAAUAAGUGGCAAGAAAUCACUUUGGUGCCGAUCUUCAAGAAUAAGGAUGACAUAUAAAAUUGUAUGACCUAUAGAGGUAUUAAGUUAAUGAGUUAUACAAUGAAGCUCUAGGAGAGGGUAAUUGAGCAUAAACUGAGACACAGGCCUCAGAGAAUCAAUUCGGGUUCAUGCCAAGGUGCUCGUCAAUGGAGGCAAUCUAUGUGAAACCCCACCCCCAAAAUAAAUUGUAAUUUCACAUUUUCUUUAAAGUUAUGAAAUUACCUUUGUGUCCCUUAUCUUUAUACCCAAUUCGAAUCCUCUUUUUAGAUUCUCAUCCUCUCUCUGUUUGCCACGUGGGAGCCCCCUAACCCAUCCUCUCAUUCUCUCUUUUCUCCCCCGAACUCUAUCUCAGCUCAUUCACUCCAUCUCACUCUCUUUCCCUUUCAGAUCUCACUCACUCUCCUCUUCUCGUUUUCCCGGUGACACCUAAGGCUCCCAACGCCCAAAUCGUGACACCCCAGCGACCUCACCACCACCACCCUCGUAUGGACCUCAUCCUCUCUCUCUCUCUCCUCUGUGCAGCAAAGAGAACUUAGCAAGCUUUCCCGAUGAACCCGUGGACUUCGAAGCGUUUUCUGGCUAACUCUGGCCACCACUCGUCGUGAAAAGCCUUUUCGAAACAAGCCAUUAGGCCAUGCCAAUCCAGGGCCUUCGGCCCGUUGAACCCCAAAGCCUUUAACCCAAAAACCCUAGGCCGGACCCUUGGACCCUAGGCCUUCGAGCCAUGAGAACCUGGACCUUCGGCCAGUUGACCCUAGGCUUAUGAAGCCCAAACCCUUAAGCCCAGAAACCCUUCGGCCCAAGCCCAAACCUGGUCAAACCCAGAACCCCGGGCCGCACGUGGGCUUAUGUGUGGGCGUCCGUGAGGUCGAACGGCUGUCGGCGUGUGGAGCACACAUACCCCCGUGGACUCACGGCGGCACGUGGCCACUGGAGCCGCCACUUUAUGGCUGUUAGAAUAUAUAGGAUAUGGAAGGUGUGGAUCAUGACACAUGUAAUCAGCCAAAUAGAAAAGGCAGUUAAGAGUGUGGAUGUUAGAAUAAUUAGUUAGGAUUGUUGGUAAGUAAUUGAGUUGGUUAAGGCAGUUAGCUAAGUACUCAUCUAUAUAACAAUUGUACCAUUUGUAACAAGUAUCAAUCAAGAAAAUAAGAAAAGCAAUUCAUUCUCUCUCUCUAAACCUUCUUUGGUUUCUUCUUUUUCCUCAUCUGUGAUUUUCUCUGUUCUCUUUCUGCAUAUUACUUAACAUGGUAUCAUCGUCUUGAAAGCCAUUCGAGCUUUCUCGAUUCAUGUGUUGCUUCCGCUACGAUCUUAACACACCGAUUCUUCUUCUUUCUCUAGAAAUUUCGAGCUUCUUUCUUACCCAGUUCUCUGAUUUCUUCUUGGUGAAUUCUUGCACGCUAGGUGUUUGGUUUUUUGUCUCACUCAGAUUCUUUCACAAUGAUCAUUGCGAAUCAGUUGCAAAUCUUGCAAUCACCGAUUACCAACUUGAUUUCAUCAGUCUCUAAUUCGGUUAAAGUGAAGUUGGAUGAUUCCAACUACCUUCAAUGGCAGUUUCAAUUGCAAUUGAUGCUCGAAGGCUAUAGAAUCAUGGGGUUCGUAGAUAGCACAAACGUGAGUCCUCUUCAGUUUUCUUCAUUUGGGUCUCCUGAUUCGGCACUAAUCGGUGUGUCUUCAACCCGACAAGCUGAAAAUAAUGAAUACAGGAUAUGGAAGAUGCAUGACAAGGCUCUCAUGCAACUUCUUACUGCAACUUUGUCUUCCUCUGCCAUUUUUUGUGCCAUAAGCAGUACUAGCUCAAGAGAUCUUUGGAUUCGGCUUCAAGAACAGUUUUCUACUGUUAGUCGUACAUCCAUUUUCCAAAUGAAAGUUGAUCUUCAUAACAUAAAAAAGGGUUCUGAUUCUAUAUCGAUGUAUCUUCAUCGAAUUAAAGCAACACGAGAUUUUCUUGCAGCUGCCAGAGUUGUCUUUGCUGAUGAAGAUAUUAUGAUUUUGGCUCUCAGUGGUCUUCCUACAGAAUAUAACACUAUCAAAUGUGUUAUUCGUGGAAGGGAAAGUGUUAUAUCUUUCAAGGAGUUUCGUUCUCAGUUACUUGCAGAUGAGGCCACUGUUGAGAACAAUUUCUCUAUGCCCUUUAUGUUUGCUAUGGUGGCCAAGAACAAUGGUCAAGGAUCACAAAGUUACUCUGUUAGGAACUCUUCUCGAAAUGGUUUUCAGAAUAAUACUAAAACAUUUAACAAUGGGGGCAGUUCCGGAUUUAAUGGCCAUUUUAGUCAAUCUAGUUUCUUCAAUGGUGAAAGGUCAAAGUAUAAAGGUAAAGGGAAGUUUAACAAUAAUCAAGGACAAAGAUAUUAUAAUUCCAAACAUGUGGUACAUGAUUUUGCUCCUGGAAUUCUUGGGACUUCGUCUUCAUUCAACAGUGGUGCAUCUUCUUCAAAUGUUAUAUGUCAGAUUUGCUCUAAACAAUGACAUUCUACUGUAACUUGUAAAUUUAGAGAUGUUGAGCCUGUUGAGCCUUGUCAAAUCUAUGACAGGAAAAAUCAUACUGCAAGAACUUGCUUCUUUAGGAAUAAAUUUCCUAAUCAAGUCUCACGCAUGGUAGCCAUGAACACCACGUACUCACACUCAGUGUCAUCCAAUCACAUGAUGCCUUCUGCAAUGUCCAACUCUGUACCUUUGUCCACCACCACACAAUAUUCGCUCGAAGUUUGGCUCACUAAUUCUGGGGCCACAAACCACAUGACUACUGAUAUGGGGAAUUUGAGCUUGGCAUCACCAUAUCCAAUUACUGAAACUGUCCAGACUGCAAAUGGGGAAGGUUUGCAAGUGUCUCACAUAGGCACAUCUUUCUUGAGGACCUCACAUCAUCCUUUGAAACUGAAUUCAGUUCUUUAUGUGCCAAGAUUGUCUCAUAAUCUUUUAUAUAUGCAUAGAUUAUGUUUAGACAACAAUUGUUGGUUAAUAUUCGAUGCUUUCUCUUUUUGGAUCCAGGACAAGGCCACAGGGAGAAUCCUAUUCCCGGGAGUAUGAAAUAAUGGACUAUAUCCUAUACCAUCUCUUAUACCACAUCAGUCUGCUUUAACUUCAAAAAUCAUGGCCUGCUUGGGAAAACUAGUCAAUUUAACUCUUUGGCACAACCGAUUAGGUCAUCCUUCUAACUCAGUUUCUUCUACAAUGCUUAAGAAGUCUAGCAUAGUUACUGUGCAUGAUACAUCUUCUACAAUGUGUAAAAGUUGUUUAGAGGGGAAAUUUAGCAAGUUACAUGUUCAGUCUGUUCAAACUAGGUCUGUGGUUCCUUUUGAGGUGAUACAUAGUGAUUUGUGGGGUCCAGCACCUUGUCAAUCUUUAGAUGGAUAUAAAUACUAUGUCCUAUUCAUAAAUGAAUGUACUAGAUUCAAUUGGAUUUUUCCCUUAAUAAAUAAAUCAGACCUUUUCUCUACAUUUGUCUCUUUCUAUCAUUAUGUUUGCACUCAAUUUACAACCAAAAUAAAAAUUCUGCAAAGUGAUGGAAGGGGAGAGUUUAUAAGCAAAAAGUUUCAAACAUUUCUCACUGAACAGGGUGUUUUCCAUCAGAUGUUUUGUUCCUAUACCCCUAAACAAAAUGGGUUAGCUGAACGUAAACAUAGGCACAUUGUAAAAACUGCCCUUACAUUGCUGCAAACUGCUCAUUUACCUCCAUUAUUUUGGACUUAUGCAUGUCAUACAGCAACCUACUUAAUCAAUAGAAUGCCAACUAUUGUUCUUCAUAACAAAUCACCAUUUAAAUUACUAUAUGAUGUUGUCCCUGAACUUUCUCACUUAAAGGUAUUCAGUUGUUCUUGCUAUCCUCUCCUUAAACCAUAUAAUACUUCCAAAUUACAACCUAAAACCUCUCGAUGCUUAUUUUUGGGAUAUGCUCCUCACUAUAAAGGGUACAUCUGUUAUCAUCUGGAUACCAAAAAGACCUACAUUUCUAGACAUGUCGUAUUCAAUGAACUCGAGUUUCCAUUUCCAUUCCUAUUUGUUUACGCUAAAGCUCAGAUUAUUACUCUCACUCCAUUACUUGACAAUGCACCACUACCAACUCCAAAUCUUCAAAAUGUUCUUGUUUCACCAUUUUCAAAUUCUAAAGUGCACACUUCAUCUACACCUAGAGAUACUCCAUCUACUAGAUCUCAGUCACCUCAAAUACAUGCACAACCAUCUCCAACACAUAGUCAAUCACCUCAAAUGCAUACAGAGUCAUGUCACAGAUCUAUUGAGUCCCCAGAUGUAUUGCAGACUUCUAGUUCUUAUGAUACUGAUACCCCAACCACACCACAGUCCAUUAUUGAUGCUCUAUCUCCUUCUUCAUCAACUCCUGUGGCACUUGAGUUUCGUCCUGAGACUCUCCAAGUAGUUCUUGAGAUUCCACCUAUGAAUCUCCACCCAAUGUAGACUUGAUCCAAAAGUGGUAUUGUGAAGCAUAAAGCCUUGUAUGCAUCAGUUUGUGAUUCUGGAGGGGUGAUCUUACUAUAACAGAGCCGGCAACAUAUAAGUCAGCUAUGAAAGAACUAGUGUGGCAUGAGGCUAUGAAUGAAGAGAUUGCAGCUUUACAUUCUCAAAGAACAUGGAGUCUAGUGGAUUUUCCACACAAUAAGAAUCUUGUUGGCUGCAAGUGGGUAUUUAAAAUCAAGAGGAAUUCUGAUGGGACAGUAGCGAGGUACAAAGCGAGACUUGUUGCAAAAGGGUUUAAUCAGGAGCAUGGACUCGACUAUGGGGAAACGUUCAGUUCGGUUGUUAAACCAACCACUGUCAGGUUAGUGUUAGCUUUGACAGCUCAUCAUGAUUGGCCUCUACAUCAAUUAGAUGUCAAAAAUGUCUUCCUUCAUGGCAUUUUACAAAAAGAAGUUUAUAUGACCCAACCUCCGGGAUUUGAAGAUCAUAAUCAUCCUCUUAAAGUCUGUAAAUUACACAAGUCUCUCUAUGGACUCAAGCAAGCCCUAAAGGCUUGGAAUGACAGGUUCACAAGCUUUCUACCUAAAUUGGGGUUCCACAAUACAUAUGAUGAUUCAUCAAUCUUUGUCAAGAGUUUUGGUUCUUCACUUGUGAUUCUGUUGCUCUACGUAGAUGACAUCAUAAUUAUUGGAAAUGCCAUUGAGAUGAUUGCAUAGGUUAUUGCAGAUUUAACACAUGAAUUUGAUCUCAAAGAUCUGGGGUUUCUCCAUUAUUUUCUUGGGAUACAAAUUACAAAAACAGAUGAAGAGUUGUUUCUAUCUCAAGAGAAGUAUGUGAAAGAUUUGUUGCAGAAAACUGAAAUGUUUGAUUAUAAACCAUGUGCAACUCCUUGCUUACCUUAUAACAGGUUAUUGAAGGACGAUGGGGAACCUUUUAAUAAACAUAGUCUCUAUAGAAGUAUUGUUCGUGCCUUACAAUACUUGGUUUUUACACGGCCUGACAUAGCCUUUUCAGUACACCAAGUUUGUCAGUUUAUGCAAUUUCCAAUGGCUUCUCAUUAUUUGGCUGUGAAGAGAAUCUUGAGAUAUCUCAAAGGGACUAUGGCACAUGGAAUUUGAUAUACUAAAGGCAGUUUAACAUUCCGAUCUUUUAGUGAUGCUGAUUGGGUUGGAGAUCCUAAUGAUAGGCAUUCUACAACAGGUUUUGUUGUGUUUCUUGGUAACAAUCCUAUCUCUUGGGCUUCAAAGAAAAAACAAACAGUAUCAAGAUCAUCAACUGAAGCUGAAUAUCGAGCUCUCUCAUCCACUGUUGCUGAAUUGGAUUGGCUGUAACAAUUAUUUCAGGUUUUACAAGUUCAAAUUUCUCACCCACCAGUUCUUUUUUGCAGCAACCUUUCUGCAAUCACAUUGUCCUUUAAUCCAGUGCAACAUCAGCGCACAAAACAUAUUGAAGUCGAUGUUCAUUUUGUGAGAGCGCGUUGCAAGCAAGUAGCUCUUGGUUCAGUUUGUCUCUUCUUCCGAGCAGUUUGCUGACAUUCUUACCAAAUGACUAAGUUCGCAAUUGUUUAAUACACACUGCAACAAUCUCAUGAUUGGACCACCAUGAGCUUGCGGGGGGGGAUGUUAAAAUAUAUAGGAUAUGGAAGGUGUGGAUCAUGACACAUGUAAUCAGCCAAAUAGAGAAGGCAGUUAGGAGUGUGGAUGUUAGAAUAAUUAGUUAGGAUUGGUGGUAAGUAAUUGAGUUGGUUAAGGCAGUUAGCUAAGUACUCAUCUAUAGCAAUUGUACCCUUUGUAACAAGUAUCAAUCAAGAAAAUAAGAAAAGCAAUUCAUUCUCUCUCUCUCUCUCACCUUCUCUGGUUUCUUCUUCUUCCUCCUUUGUGAUCUUCUCUGUUUUCUUUCUGCAUACUACUUAACAAUGGCGGCGCAUGAGGGCGUGUGCGGCGGCCGUGGGGGUACCUGAGGUCCCCCUUAUAUUUUUUGAUGUCCUGAAUCCGUUUAAGACAUCUGUUUUCUGAAAUUCAAUCGUUAUGAUAGAGUUUUAUUAAUUCGACCCUUUAUAUGCUUAAGUGCAAUUAUUAGUGGCGAUUCCGUCCUUCCUAUUUCAUACGGCUCUUCGACGAUGGAGUAUCUGUGAGUGGACCCCUUCUAAAAUGCAUGUUUUAAUAGUAGAAAUGCAUACAUGAAAAGCAUGAUUUAUUGGUUACGUUUUAUGAAACGUUUUACAAGUAAAUUAGUUUUACACUUUAUGAUUAUCAUGCUUUACUGAGAAUAUUUUGGAAUACCAUACUUUAUCGAAUUUAUAUUCUUUGUAGUAUAUAUGAUGGAUGACUAUAUACUAUUUAUGAACAUGUUUUUACACUCCUAGUAUAUAUGAUGGAUGACUACAUACUAUGAAUAUGUUUUGAGAUAUAUGUACGUAUGUUGGAAAGAUUAUAUUCAAUGUUUUGUGCUUAUCUAGUGGUCAUUAUUCUGCAUACGGGCGAUGAUACUUAUUGGCCUACGGAUCGGGUGAUGUGGGGGCCUACGCGUCGGGUGAUGUAUGGGCUUACGGGUCAGGUGAUGUAGGGGCCUAUCGGUCGGAAGAUAUUAUAUUGGCCUACAUGUCGAGUGAUGUAGGGGUCUACGGGUCAGAAGAUAUUAUAUUGGCCUACGGGUCGGGUGAUGUAAGGACCAACGAGUCGAUUAUGAUACCACUAUUUAGCACAAUAUGUAUAUACGAUACAGGUUUUAUGUCAUGCUAGGGUUUUCGGAAAAACCUAUUAUAUAUUAUACUAUUGAGUUUUCAUAAAACUUUGGGGGUUAGUACGUUAUUGCAUAACUGUUUCAAUAUUAUAUAUAUAAAACUUUGAGGGUUAGUACGUUAUUGAAUAACUGUUUCAAUAUUAUAUAUAUAUAUAUAUAUAUAUAUAUAUAUAUAUAUAAACUUGGUCCACUCAUGUUUGUUUUAUGCCCCCUCAGGACAUAGGAACGAGGUAUACGACCCGAGCUACGAGCCAUUCCCCUACCAAUGAUACCGCGUCAUCCUCUCUGCUUUGACUUCAUUUGUAAUAGCACCUUCCGCUUGUAUUCUGAAUUAGAUGUAUGCUCUGAACAUGUCAUGCAUUAUCACUAUGUUUUCAUUGUUGGCAGUUGAAUAUUAUUUAUUAUUUUAGUAGUUUGUAUUUGAAUAUUACCUUGUGUAGUUCGCGCGAAAUUUAUAUGCAUGUUUCACAUGUUCUCGGCAUAUGCAUUCAUUAAAUGGCUUUCGUCACCCUCGGGUGUCUACCAAUAUGUGACCAUCCCGAUGUCCCUCGGACAUCGGGAUCGAGGCAUGUCAAUCUAUCUCUUAUGAAGAUCAAUGGAAUGAUAUAGAGAUGUGAAAAAAAGAUUUGUACAUGAUCUUUAUAGAUUUAGGAAAAAUGUAUGAUAGUCCUAAGAGAAAUUCUUUGUAGGAUUCUAGAGAAGAAAAGGGUACGAGUAGCAUAUAUCAAAACAAUAAAGGAUAUGUAUGAUGGAGUAAAGACUGUAGUAAGAACUCAUAGAGGACAAACUGAAAGCUUUCCCAUACCAUAGAGUUACACUAAGGCUCAACUUUAAAUCCUUACCUUUGCAUUGGCAAUUGAUUAGUUAAUGGGACAUAUUCAAAAUGAUAUCCCUUGUGUAUAUUUUUCACAGAUGAUAUAGUGCUGAUAGAUGAAACGUAGGAGGCAGUAAAUCUGAAGCUUAACCUUUGGCGCGAAGUGUUUGACUCUAAAGGUCUUCACCUAAGUAGGUCAAACAUAGAGUAUAUAAAGUGCAAGUUUAGUGAAAUGGAGGCUCAGACGAGAUAUGGGUGAGGAUUAGAGAUUAGGAAGUACCAAAGAGUGAACAUUUUCAUUCCUUUAGAUAUGUUUUGCAAAAUAACGUAUAGUUAGAUGAAGAUCUCAACCAUAAAAUAAAAGCUGGAUGGAUGAAGUGGAAGAAUGAAUAGGGUGUCAGUAAUGUGAUUAAUUUUGUGUUUCUAGCCUUAUGUAUAUUUUUUUAAUUUACAAAUUCCAAAUAGUUAAUUUAGAAUGAUUUACAAAUUACAAAUAAUAUGAUACAUUAGCACAUAACAGAAGUUUUGACAAAAUUGUCAUGGAGAACCAUACUGAUUUUCGACACCCAUUUUCAGGAACCACAUUGAUGGAGUGAGUCAAAUUUCAGGGACUAUUUGUGAUAUAAAAAAAAUGAGAAAGGAGGAGUCAGUUGAAGUGAGUGCCAGUUGUAACGACAUAUUUUGUAAUUUUUGUUUAUCUUAAAUGGAUAUAAGUAUUACAGUACAUAAUCGACCCAUUUAUAAUUAACAUAAAUAUUGUUGAUAUAUUUUGUAAGUUUUUAUUGAUUUUAUACAAAAUCACCCAGUUUUAUGUUUAUAAAUAACAUUCUGUAUUCUUUUUAUAAUUUAAAAAUUCCAAUAAUUAGUUUUAGCCUGAUUUACUUCAAAUAUUUUGUAGCUCGAACAUAAUGGUUCAAACAAGUACAUGCUCAGUAAUUUUUUGGCCUGAUCGUCGCAUGCCAAUUUAUUCAUGUUAUUACACAUACAACUAUUUAUUAACACUCUAUAGCAUAGGUGCAUGAAAUGCAAACCGUAUCAUCUAUUAAGAAACUUGUAGACAUUUGAUGACAGAGUAGAAUAUGGGGAAAAGGCCACAGUUUAUCUUGCCACAUAUUGAAUAGGUUGAAAAUCAGUAUAUGCAUAAUUAAUAUACAAAGAAUAAAAAAAUGACUAACAAACCAAAGAAAAAAAAAACUGACUAACAAACAGAAGAAGAAACUGACUACAAACGAAUAUAAUUUUAUUGACUGAAAGUCAUGACAACUACAAAUCGGAUGACUACAUGGUGAUUGACUUACUUUAAACUAAAUAACAAUACAUCUUAACUAAUCCUAAUUCUAAAAGGCAAGGAAAUGAAACCCUAAAAGGCAAGGAAACGAAACCCUAAUCUACCAAGAGGUCUUCUACCACAGUAGUGGAGAAGAGUGUUGUCCUUGCACCACGGCAUGAGUUUGAACCCCAUCAGCUCUCCAAUCUAACAAAUCUAUCUUUUGACAAAAAACAAAAAAGAAAUUCUAAAACGAGCUAGACCUAAAUUCUAAAAUCUCAAAAAACCUAAACAAUAAAAUAAAUCUAAAAUACUAAUAUUUUCCAACGUAACAAUUCGACUUUCUGCAUAAUAACAACGAUUACACUCUUGUACUCAGCUGAGAGAGAGUAUGUGGCUCAUAAGUGGCCAUAGCUCAAUGCUUGCUGACCAUCAAUGGCCCGAAAAACUAUGCCUUAGAUAAUUCAAUGGCCUUGGCCCAAAUUUCUCCUCCGUGAGGAGCAUUUUGUAUUAGAAAAUAUUAGUAUUUUUGUUUAUUUGAAUAUUUGAUUUUCUGGACUUAGCCCAUUGGUAUUAGAGUUUUGAUUUCUUAUCUUUUAGGAUCAGAGUUAGUUUAUUAUAAAUAGCAUGUUUGUUAUUCAUUUGAGAAUAAGUUUGUCACAAUGUAACCUUUUAAAAUUUUGUAACCGUUUCGGCAUUCUCGUUUGUUUAAUAAUAUUUUUAUUAUUUUUUUGAUCUCGUUUGUCGUGCACUCUGAUAUUCAACUUGGUAUCAGAGCAGGUUAGAUCCUUCGGGAUUUGAUCUGCUUGUUUGAUAUUCAUGUCUGUCGCAUUUGUCAUCUGUUAGUUAGGGUUCUAUUAGAUUAUAUGUGUCCGUCGUCGUUCUUGUUUAGAUUGUUUAGUUGUCUGGUUUAUGGUUUGCAAGAGAGAAGAAAAAAAAAAAGGUUUGUUUUAGAAAAAUUUCAGUUUGUGUCUGACGGCCUUCUGCUCCUUCUUCGCCGUCCAUAUUUGUCCUGAUCAUCUGCGCGUGUUGUCGAAGCCCAGACCGGAGAACCAAUUGGAUCAAGUUCGUCUCCACUUGAACUCCCGGCUCCUGCAAAGCAGAUUUAAUAAUCACGUAUCUGCAGCUGUCCACUGAUCUGAAUCCACCACCAUCCAACACAACCUGCAUCACCACACCGUUUCUUGCACUGCAUCUGCACCAGUUCGACUCGCCCCACCUCGCCUGCAUGACUCACUGCCGUUGCACCCACAACCUGUCUCUAGCCUGAUCCUUCCCCACCAUUACAAUUCGCAACGAUCCCCACCGCACUGCUCGUUCUCACUCUCACCCAGACCCGCAAACCCCAUCUGCACACUGCCGCUGCAACCAGAAGCCUGCACAUCUACCGUCCGAAUCCACCCCGCCACCAAUCCAUCCAGUCACGCCAUCGCCAUUGCCUGAAAUCUCGCCUUCGCUGUUUUCACUUGUUCGCACAGAAAAAGAAAGAAGAAGGAAAUAAAAAAAUAAAAAAAAAGAAAAAAAUAGAAAAAGAAAACAGAAAAAAGGAAAAAAGAAAAGAAAAAAAAGGGUAUAGAGCCCACAAUCUGUUGGGCUAUUAUGAUUUGUUUGAAGGCCUUUAGUUGGGCCUUGUUGAUAGAAGCUCUGUCAACCUGGUUUGUUUAGGACUCACAUGGUUGAUGUAAGAAUAGUUAUUGUUGAGCUUGUAUUGGAUCUCCUGGUUGCCCACCAUCACGAUUACUCGAGUGCUUGGACUGAUGACCACUCGAGUGACGUUAUGUACCUGAUUAUUAGUUGGAUCGUCCGUCGGAAUUUGCUUGCUUGCCAAAUGGUUGAAUGAUGGAAUUGCUUGACUACUCGUCAGCUUGCUUGCUUGUUCGCUUGGAUUGUUCGUUUGCUCGCUUGAUUGCCCGCUUGCCUUGUCAUGUCCGCCUAACAGAGCUUGCAUCUGCAUCUGCUUGUUGGCAAACUCAUGACGUGUAUUGCCAUGAGUUUGACGCCCGGGGGGGGUGUUGGAAAAUAUUAGUAUUUUGGUUUAUUUGAAUGUUUGGUUUUAUGGGCUUAGCAUGUUAGCAUUAGGGUUUUGAUUUCUUACCUUUUAGGGUUAAAGUUAGUUUAUUAUUAAUAGCAUGUUUGUUAUUCAUUUGAGAAUAAAUUUGUCACGAUGUAGCCUCUUAAGAUUUUGAAGCUGUUUCGGCAUUCUUAUUUGUUUAAUAAUAUUCUUAUUAUUUUGUAGUCUCGUUUGUCGCGCACUCUGAUAUUCAACUUUUUGAACGUGUUUCUCAUAACAAGUUUUCAAAUAACUUUCACAACCAAAUAUAUGCAAUGUAUAUCAAUUUACAAGGAACCAAUAGACAAUGACGUAUUGCGCCUGUGGUCCAACCAAGCUCUCAAAAACAUGAGACUUCUUGUAUUUUAGGGUUUAAUCAAAGACGCACAAGAACUCGGUUUUCACUGAACACAACGAGAGAUAUAGAAGGUUCAUCAUUAAGCUUUUCUUCUUUUGUAUGUUCAUUUGUUUAGGUUCUUCAUUUUUCUCUCUUUCUAGCUUUAGAAUACAACGCAGCAAAGAUAAACUUCUCUAUUGACACAGUCACACAAGGGGAUUUCCUUUUGCGACAAUUGUAUUUACAAAUUGACCAUAUUGUUGACACAGUCUCAAAUAGAGUAAAAUGUGAGUUGUCUAAACUAAAGAGUGUGACGCUAACUUCGAGUGUCUAAAUGAUGUUUCUUUUUCUCAUAAUUUUGUUUGAUUAUAAAUCUCAAUAUUUGAUUUUAGCCUAAUUUACAGUAAAUAUUUUGUAGCUCGCACAUAAAUAGUUCACACAAGCACAUUUGGAGUAAUUUGUACGUAGCUCAGAAAUAGAGGGAUUUUUUUUUUCAGAGGCAUCCAAAUAUUUUUGUUGAAGCAGAGGCUUGGCUUUAUAAUAGUAGAGAUUAUGAUCCUGCUCUCCUCUUCCCUUCUUUCUCUCUUCUCGUUUGCAUCUCUUGUCUCUUUUCCCUUGCUCUUCUCUUCCCCUUUUCUCUUCUUCUUACGUUUAAUUGUUCCCUUUUCAUCUCUUCCCCAAAUCGAACAAAACUGAUAAAACUGAGCUGAAUCUGAACCGAACUAGUUGUACUAUUUUAUUUUAUUUUUGAUUUUUUGGGGUGAACCAAACCGUUCUCACAUGUAAUUAGUUAGUGUUUAAGCAUGUUUAUAGGGAAUUGAAUAAUUAUGCUGACUUCAUGCUCUUUGUGAGCUCUAAAUUGUUUAGUUAAUAUUUUAGUUUUACAACUGAUAAAUAAAAAAUAAAAUAAAAUAACGCAUAUAGAUUAAGAUAAACUUUCGUAACCACUGAAAGUAGGUGUCAAUUAAUACAUAUUUCCAAAUGCUUGCGUUAUGGCUGAGAGAUAAUUCAUACACACGACAGUGAAGCAAAUAAUACAGCGUACCUAGCCCGGUCCACUUGAGGAGAUUUUUUUUUAUAUAUAUAUCCGAAACACGAGUCAGUACAUCAUAUGUCAUAAUAGGCAUAUAUUUUUAGUGUCUCUUGGCAAAGGUUGUCGAGGCACUGGUAGUAAGUUCAUUUGUAUUAUAAUACAUGAUGUAUAAACUUAUGUUACGUUACACAAAAAUCUCUCUAGAGUUGGGGCUACUUGUGAAUAGUGUGUAUCACAUAAAGAUGUCAAGUCACUAUUUAGAAGGGGGUUUUUCCUGUUUCGGGGAAACAUGAGACUAAAGACCUUUCUACAUGCUUUUGUCACGUACAUGGGGGGUGGUGGGUGGGGACUUUGAUCCAUCAAAUAUCAACCACAUCGUUCACUAGAAAGAAUUUUGACGUUGUGAGAAACAUAUUUUGAACAUGUUUAUUGAUAAAGAGAGUUUUCUUGUUUCUCAGAGGCAUUUGUGUCCAGUUAUUUUUGUUGAAGCAUGUUGCACCAAAGCAGAGACUUGGCUUUAUAAUAGUAUAGAUUACGAGUCCGCUUUCCUCUUCCCUUCUCUCUCUCCUCUUGUCUCUUUUCCCUUGCUCUUCUCUUCCCCUUUUCUUUUCUUCAUACGUUUUAUAUGUUUCCUUCUCAUCUCUCCUCCCCCCAAAUUGAACAAAAUUGAUCAAACAUGAGCUGAGUCAAAACCGAAGUAGUUCUACUAUUUAAUUUCAUUUUCAAUUCUUUUGGUUUUGGGGGGGGUUGGAAAUCGAACCAAACCAUUCUCACCCAUAUUAAUUAGCCAGUGUUAAGCAUGUUUAUAGGGAAUUGAGCAGCUGCUUCAUGGUUUUUGUGAGCUCUAAACUGUUUAGUUAGUAUUUUACAACUGAUAAAUAAAAUUUGAAUAAAAUAACGCAUAUAAAUUAAGAAAAAAAAAUCUAGUAGUCACAUGGGGCAAACUACAUGACGGGUCCAACAUGCUUUUGUCACGUACAUGGGGGGUAGUGGAUGGGUACUUUGAUCCAUCAAAUAUCAAUCACAUCGUACACUAGAAAGAAUUUUGACGUUGUGAGAAACAUAUUUUGAACAUGUUUAUUGAUAAACUUUAUCAUGGUCCAUCACAAAUAGCGUGCAUAUUAUCUGAAUGUAACCAUCUAUUAUUAGCUUUUGGGUUUUAUAAUUAAAGUCUUCGAUGAUAUUCACAUAAAAAACUUUCUUAUUAUUUAUAUUAUUUUGUCAUAUCUCCGCUCAAGGAUUCAAUUCUCUAACUUUUAUUGCUUUAAACAAAUUUCCAAACAAUUUUCACAACUUGAAGCAAUGUAUAACAAUAAAAUAGAGGCUAUUUUCUAAGUAACUAGGAUUCUCUCCCCUUCCUCCCCUCCUAUUUGAACGGCCAUGAUUAAGCUACGUCAACAUCAUGUGUUGCCCUCUUUAUAAAGAGAGAAAUACAACGAAAAUGUGAGAGGAGGAGACAAAAGAGGAGGAAAAUUGGAGGGGAGGCAACCCUAGAUAGAUAGCUCAUUUGUCUUCACUCACGAAACUUAAAGGUGAUAUUUUCUCACAUGUUUGUAUUAUAUCUCUUUGCUUGUAGGUUUCGGUUUUCUGUGUCCAGAUAAAUUAACUUCUCCUUUGACACAUUCACACAAGAGGAUUUCCUUUUACAUUAAUUGUACUUGCAAAUUGCAAUAUUGAUCAUACUAUUGACACACUCUCAUAUAGUGAAAUGUGAGACGCCUGUCUAAAUUAAAAAGCAUGACGCCAAUUUUGAGUGUAUAAUGACGUUUCUUUUUGUUCUUUUGCAUAAUUAUAAAUUCCAAUUGAUUUUAGCCUAAUUUACUGUAAGUUUUUUUUUUUCUUUUUUUUUGUAGCUCGCACAUAAACACAAGCACAUUUGUAGUAAUUUUGUAGCAACAUGUUGCACCAAAGCAGAGACUUGGCUUUAUAAUAGUAGAGAUUACGAGUCCGCUUUCCUCUUCCCUUCUCUCUCUCUCUCUUCUCUUGUCUCUUUUCCCGCGCUCUUCUCUUCCCCUUUUCUUUUCUUCAUACGUUUUAUAUGUUUCCUUCUCAUCUCUCCCCCAAUUGAAUAAAAUUGAUCAAACAUGAGCUAAGUCUAAACCGAAGUAGUUCGUGUUUGGGCAGGAAUGUCGCCUGUGGGUGUUCCUGGCUCGAGCACACAAAAAAGGCCAAUCUAUGCCUAGUAAAGCUCCAUAAGUGGAAGUGUUGUUCACAACAAAAAGGGCCAACAUAACUCGUUUUGAUCCUAAAUCCACCUUUAACGGCAGUAUCCCAUGCGUCUUGGUGAUAGCUCCGGAGAAACUAGAAACUGUAAGAUCAGUAGGAAUAAGAUCCCCUUCACUCCUAUACAUCUUCUUCAUCUGCUUGUGUGGCAGCACAUUAACUGCAGCCCCACCAUCGAUCAGGACCCUCUUGAAGGGUACUCCAUCCAAGUGUGUAGUUACAUAUAUGGGCUUGAGAUGGUUGGCCAAGCUUGAAGGGAACUCCCUCCUUAUUGAUGGUUCGGGCAAUCCAGUUUGGUUAGGUUCUCCUUGUCCUGUAUUCUCAACACUAACAUGCGUCAUCAUGGGUUUUGUUGCCAAGUAAUCACCUUCCAUGAUGGGAGGUUGAUCAUGCUCGGCACGAAACAUGGCUGAUAAAACAUAUGUCAUGUUUAUGUGGAGGUCACUAGGCCCAGGUACAUCUCUUUCCUUGCUCCCUAUGUGGUUCAUAAACCCAUCUAACCAAGCUUGUGCUUUUUCUGGCAAUAUUAAUUCAGGCACCGCCUCUUCUCGAGUUAUGCCGAAGUUCUGCACCUGCACUAGGCUCUCACAGAGUGUAUCUACCAACAAUGGUGAGGGUAUCCCUCUCUCGGACGAAAUUGUUCCAAAACAGCUUAGUUAUGGGCUCCACUUAGAUGUUGGCAUCAUUACCAUAUCUUCCUGAAAUCUUUUUAGGAUUCUAUAUUUUCCCGGGUGAAUGCUCAAUGACGCAUGGACUCCUGCCCCUUCAGUCUUGCUAUUGGCUUUCUCUACCUCCUUCUUGGUUCUCCAGCGGAUUUGAAUCUUUCCUUCAAUAGGUACCUUGUUUACCUCUCCAUUUUUAGAGGUCUCUGAGGUGGUGGGGACCUUCAAUGAAUUCAUGUGGGCUUUAUGUUGCCUUUAGACUCUCCUGAUCAUGGAAGCUCCCAUCUCUUUAACGGGCUUUCCAUCCAUUCCAACUACAUACCAUCUCCGCCCGAGUCGGGUAACAUUCUUUUUAGUGACUGGGUUCACUGUUUUUCUUUUAUUCUAACAUCACUGGCAUAACUUGGUUGAGGUGGCCUUACGUCUACCCACCUUGGUGUAUCGGCCUUCUUGUCCUCUGCUUCUUCUGAAGCUUCAUAGUUUCUGAAUACUUCCGACAAGUUCUUUAGUUGAGAGUCUCCUCCCAACUUUUGGAAAAUGCUCCGAGAGGUUUCCUUUUUAGCUGCCCACGUGAUAUCUCUGUGGGACUCAUGCUCUUCUUUUCCUCUUCUCUUGAUCAAUUCCUGGUCGAGGAUGGCUCCUGCAGUUGGUACUUCAAGCUCGCACUCACAUUGACAUUUAUUGCACAAAACCACCCCUUUGAUUAUUGUUUCCUUAGGCUUUUCAGGCAACUUGAUAGCUCAUUCCGUCGACCUAUCAAUUUGUCGCCUUUCAGCUCUUACUUCCUCGGUAGCUUUUUCUUUCCCUUUCUCUGCCCACGUUAAAUUGAUCAUGUUUAUGGGGGCUUGUAGAAAAGGACCAGCACAUGUUACUACUUUAGUUUGAGAUUCUCCCAAUGUUUGCAUUAUUUCUAGCCCAUAUUGCCCCUUGUUAUUCAAUAAGAAUGACAAGGGGUCAGACAAUUUAGGCUUCUUGAUCUCAUUCAAAAUUAACUGGUCGGUUCCGGUUUCUUCCUCAUACUUUUCCUUAUCCCCUUCUUCUUUUAGUAAAGGGAACAAGGAAACAGCUGGUUCAUUCAUAGGGCUAGACUGGUUUGCUAUCCUUUCAACAUUAUCAUUUUCUGGAGUAGAGUGCUCCAAAUCUGACCUUCUUUGCGGAUUCAUGGAACAGCCUUUGUUCGUCUCUCCUUUAGCUCCUGCAAAGUUCCUCUCCAUAUUGAGAUAACUCUUCUCCAAGCUUUUCAAGAUAGCCAUCAAGGCAACCUGUAAAUGUUCUUUUGUAACUUUUCCUUCUGACUUCUCAGAAGAAGUCAGGCUUUCCGUUAAGACAGGUCCUUGCAAGUCUUCGGGGAGAUUUGUCAUGCUGGAUCUUGGUGUGUAGUGGGAUGAUUUCUUUUUUGCUCCCCACAUGAAGGUUUGUUCCUUCCUUCGCCUUCUUGGCAUACAAGAUUUAGUCCUAUUGGGCAUGCCAAAACUAUGUUCGGGCAGGAAUGUGGCCUGUGGGCAUUCAUGUUUCGAGCACACAGCUCCCCGCAGAGUUGGCACUUUGGUUGACUGUCGGGUUCUCGCUUUGUUCGUCGGGCUGCAAGAAGAGGACAUAGUUAAUUCUGAAAGGUGCCUUUGUCGGGCCUUAAGUAUAGGCCGUGAGGCUCGCAGUCAAAACUAACUUAAGUGCUGAGGCGUGCCACUGCCAUCUCAGUAUGGCAGAUGUAAAAUGAGUAGAUUUAAGCUGAUUACUUGCGCCCCAAGUUGCUCUAACUUCUCAUUAUCAAAGGAUUGUCAUGGAUGAGUUAAGUCCACAUUAGAUUCUUUUCUAUGCCUUGAGAUCAAGGACUUUUGUUCAUCUUGUAUGGUAAAAUGGCAUAGGUCUGGAUUUAAUCAAGGCAUUAAGUGGAUUCACUCUUAAGAUAGUAAAACUAUUUAACUAAAACCAGAACUUAGAGUAAGCUAAACUUUAGAUCAUUAAACGACCUAACAUGACUUGAAUACAUACUAGGGAAUUCAUUAUAACACCAGAUCUAUUAAUUAAAAGACAAAACAAAAGGAAUCGAGCAAGAUUGAACCUUGUCGGACAAUGUUGGAUCUUUCGCCAUUUUUUUCUUUGCCACUACAGGGAUCCGAGAGUUUCAAGGGAGAAUGGAUGACAAAUAAAGUUACACAAGAGAAUCGAUACUACUGGUGAGCAGCAGAGCUAUUAAACUAGACAAAAGAUGGUUUUUAUGAGGGCUGAUCCUGAAAAUGAUUGAGGUUGGGGGCUGACUACACCUUCGUAUGCAAAUCUGGCUUGAGUAGAGUUUGUGUAUUUGUUUGUUUGAUUGGUUGAGUGUCCUUGUCUCUAGGCCUUCUUGCUCAUUUUAUAGGCGAAUUAGCCUAACUACUUGCAGCUUGGUUUCUGCCCGAAAGCAACUGAGGGGUAAUGACUUAUCAGUAAUUUACGUACUCUGUCAUUCAGAAAGUACUUUUGGGCUGAAAGUAGGCUGAUUUCCAUCAAGUGUCACUUCUUUCAAGCCACUAGCUUUUGCAUUAAAUGUGGAAUCAUCAUUUUGCCUUGGGCUGGGCGAAUGGGUUUAAUGAUGGGCCUUCGAGCAUAAUCAUGCUUCCUGGGCUUCUUUUUCAAGCUUCUCUUCCUUCAGCCCAAAGUUCAAAUAUUAACCCAAACAGUUCUAUUAUUUGAUUAGAUUUUCCAUUUUUUUUGUUUGUGGGGGGCGCGGGGAAUGAACCAUACCGUUCUCACCCGUAUUAAUUAGUCAGUGUUAAACAUGUUUAUAGGGAAUUGAGCAGUUGAACUUAUCUGCAAGCUUCAUGGUUUUUGUGAGCUCUAAACUGUUUAGUUAGUAUUUUACAAUUGAUAAAUAAAAUUUGAAUAAAAUAACGCAUAUAAAUUAAGAAAAAAAAAUCUAGUAGUCACAUGGGGCAAACUACAUGACGGGUCCAACAUACUUUUGUCACGGACAUGGGGGGUGGUGGAUGGGGACUUUGAUCCAUCAAAUAUCAACCACAUCGUACACUUAGAAAGAAUUUUGACGUUGUGAGAAACAUAUUUUGAACAUGUUUAUUGAUAAACUUUAUCAAGGUCCACCACAAAUAGCGUGGAUAUUAUCUCAACUUAAUCACCUAUUAUUAGAUCUUAGGUUUUAUCAUCAAAGUCUUCGAUGAUACUUGCGUAAAAAAAAAAAGAAACUCUCUUAUUAUUUAUAUUAUUUUGUCAUAUUCACCGCUUUGGGACUCAUUUCUCUAACUUUUAUCACUUUAAACAAAUGUCCAAUUAAUUUUCACAACUUGAUGCAAUGUAUAACAAUAAAAUAGAGGCCAUUUUCUAAGGAACUAGGAUUCUCUCCCCUUCCUCUCCUCCUAUCCGAACGGCCACGAAUAAGCUAUGUUAACAUCUUGUGUUGCAUUCUUUAUAAAGAGAGAAAUACAACAAAAAUGUGAGAGGAGGGGACAAAAGAGAAGGAAAAUUGGAGGGGAGGCAACCCUAGAUAGAUAGCUCAUUUGUCUUCACUCACGAAACUUAAAGGUGAUAUUUUCUCACAUAUUUGUAUUAUAUCUCUUUGCUUGUAAGCUUCGGUUUUCUGUGUCCAGAUAAAUUAACUUCUCCUUUGACACAUUCACACAAGAGGAUUUUCUUUUACAUUAAUUGUACUUGCAAUAUUGAUCAUAUUGUUGACGCACUCUCAUAUAUAUAUAUAUAUAUAUAUAUAUAUAUAUAUAUAUAUAUAAGUGAAAUGUCAAACGCCCACCUAAAUGAAAAAGCAUGACGCCAAUUUUGGGCGUCUAAUGACGUUUCUAUUUCUUGUUUUGCAUAAUUAUAAAUUUCAAUUGAUUUUAGCCUAAUUUACUAUAAGUUUUUUUUUUGUAGCUCGCACAUAUACGGUUCACACAAGCACAUAUGUAGUAAUUUUGUAGCUCGUACAAAGAGAGUUUUCUUGUUUCUCAGAGGCAUUUGUGUCCAAUUAUUUUUGUUGAAGCAUAUUGCACCAAAGCAGAUACUUGAUUUUAUAAUAGUAGAGAUUACGAGUCCGCUUUCCUCUUCCCUUCUCUCUCUCUCUCUCUUCUCUUGUCUCUUUUCCCUUGCUAUUCUCUUCUCCUUUUCUUUUAUUCAUACGUUUUAUUUGUUUCCUUCUCAUCUCUCCCCCCAAUUGAACACAAUUGAUCAAACAUGAGCUGAGUACAACUGAUAAAUAAAAUUUGAAUAAAAUAACGCAUAUAAAUUAAGCAAAAGAAAUCUAGUAGUCACAUUAUUCAAAACCAUUGAAAGUAGGUGUAAAUUAAUAGAGUAAUGUUAGGGAGACUAAAUUUGUAGACUAAAUUUUGUAAUCUAAAUGACAUAGAAGUUGAUGAUUGAAUUAUUACUUGAGUGUUGAUUAAUAUAUAUAUAUAUCCAAGCUCAAUAGAAAACAAAAAUGAAGAUCGGAAAAUAUCAAGCCCUUGCCACCUCCAAGCUCAAACUAUGACCAAUGCAACCCCAUCCCAACUUUUAUAUUUAAAACCUACCAAAUAGGUAUAUCAUGGUCCACAUUAGGCCAUCUCUAACCGAAUAGACUAAACAUAACUCCGUCCAGAAUUAUAGCUCUGCAAGAAAUUAUUUUUUAAUGAAUAGUAUCAGGUCAUAUUCAUAUACCAUCUCCAAUAAACAUAGCCCCUUCAAUAGUUUAUUUAUAUUAAUUAUUCUUUGAAUUUAUUGCUUAAGUGUCAUGUGAAAGACAACUUUUUUCACUUGAAGACAACUUAAAAUGAUUUAUCACAAGCAUUUCAACAAAUAAUAAAAAAGAUUAAUUGUUGAUUCUAAUGAUUAUAAAUUUAUAAAUACACACUAAGCUUUUACUAAUGGUCUUAUACGUAUUACCCAAACAUAGAAUUUUUACAUUGAAGUUUUAACGAAACACUCCAGGUAUUGUUUACUUUUAACUAAAAACCACAUUUUUACCUUUCCCUGGUACUAUUCACUACACAUUUAUUUAUCUUUUUUCAUUAAAAAUUAAAAAAAAUUGAACUUUUCGCUAGUUUUCAUUUUUUACAUCUAUAUUCUUGAAAUAAGUAUAAUAUAUUUUGCAAGGCAGCCUACUUUUUGUCGCAUCAAAAAAUUGGGCCGAAGAGCUUGAGAUUUCCAUUGCUGCAGUCAGUACUAAAUCUAGUGGGGGUGGUUACGGGACAAUGGUAGAUGCCGUUGGAUGCUUUCAAAAGUGGCCUUAGGAUUUGCUGCUAGGCCCAGCAAACGGGCUGGCUAUCAAGCAAACUUGACCAGCCUAAUGCCCUAUUGGCUAUGUUUUGGUCUAGUGGGCUUUAUUGAUUUUAGCUUAGUCUUUGGUUGGAGUUGAAUUUUGUCUAAAUCAGACAAUUUUUUGACCCUUUAACCCUUUAGCCAUCUCCAUUGGAGAUGACCUUAGUAUUUAAGGAAAACUAAUGAAAAGGCCUUGAAAACUUUGAGUUUUAAUGAUAAGGACAAAAUAAAGGGUAAAGUGAAUAGUACCAUGAUUGACUUUUUAGUGUAAAAAUGUGGUUUUUCGUUAAAGUGAACAGUACCGGGUGCUUUUCGUUAAAGUUCCCUAGUAUUUAUUGCCUCAAAAUCUAAAUUUCAAAUAUAGAUUAUAGAAUAUGGAACCCAAUGAUCAAACUAUUAUUGAAGUGAAUAAAAAAUGGACCCAGAUUAACAUUACAUCAGGACGGUGAUCUCCUAACAAAUAAUAGGGUUAAGAAUUCAUAUAGGAUUUUAAGAAGCUUGUUUAUGCUCAUGUGAUUUCCUUAAUCGUCGAUUCUCGGGUCGUAAAGCUUCCAGUUCUUCUUUGUGUGCAGUGAAGAUGGUGGUGGCUGCAUCAUGGCAGUCCAUACCAUUUUAGCAACCUCCAUAACCUUCUUUUUGAUGUUGGGGGCUUGAAUUGUAGGGUGGAGUUGAUGAUUGUGCUUUGAGUUUGGAGAUGAUGGCCUGAUGGGGAUGGUGGUGACCGUUAGUUUGUGGUCGCCAUAAAUUUUUUUGAAUUCCAUUAAAUUUUAAUAUAAACUAUAAUGUUCAAUGAUCCAUGACCUUCUAUUAUUUUAUUUUAGAGACAAAGGAAUCCCUAGUUAAUUUAACAAAAAUUUAUCUACAGCUCAACGGGUGUGAUAUUUUCAAUAUGUUGGGUACUUGUUUGAAAUGUUUAAAAGGGAUGUGAUCAAUUUGGAAUGACACUAAAAUGUAUAGUUUUAGGUACUUAAUCCUUUAAUUAUAAUAAUAAUAAUAAAAAUGUUCAUAAUCUAUUCCUAUUUGGUGGGUUGUAUUUGUUUACCAAGUCAAACAAAACUAACACUCUCCAAUGGAGGAGCCCAUCACAUAAGGAUGUAAAUUUCCAUUUUCCACUAUUUAGGAAUGUAACACAACUUCCACAUGUCCCGCAUUUGCCAUUUUGUGCAUAUGCCACCAAAGUCAACGUGGAAAAUGUGACCGAAGCAAAAUAUGUAGUCGACUCCAAACUUCCUAUAUAUAUCCUUAGUCAUAGGCUUAAUUUGCUGAAAAAAAUUCUAGUAUUUAGCUCAUCUGUCUUCAAACUUAAAGGUAAAUUUUUUUUCGGUUAAUUUUUUUCUUGCCUAGCUCUACCGCUUUGUUUGUAGGCUUUUGUUUUCUGUGGUCCAGAUGCUUUCUUGUACUUACGUUUCCUUUGCUCUUCGUCUCUUUUGAGGGCUCUUGUUUUUCCUGUUUAAGUUGUGAGUAUGUAGCUAGGUUAGACCAGUUGACGACAAUUUGAAAUCUCCGUUCUUGUAGAUUAGACUGGUUAAAAAAGAUCGUCUUGUUGUAAAAGCUAAUUAAAAACAGAUGUUGAUUUGGCUUUUUGGAUGAUUUUUUUCAAGGAAAUAAUUUUAUCAAUGGAUGGGAUGGACUUAUCACCCAAGUCAGCCCAGAAGUUGUUUGAAGGAGAUGGAGGAGCAUAUUACAUUUGGUCGAGUUCAGAUGUUCCAGUGCUUGGUGAGGCCAAGGUUGGUGCAGGCAAGCUUGUUCUUCAACCUCAUGGCUUCGCUCUUCCUCACCAUGCAGAUUCCUCCAAACUGGGAUAUGUUCUUCAAGGUAAUUAAUAACUAAUUAUUAACUACAGCCUACAACUACAUAUAUAAUUAACUGAAUUUAUAUAAUGAAAAUGUAGUGUUCCGUUCCGUCUGUGCACACUAAAAAAUCUCUCUUUCUGUACAUGUAAUUAAAAAAGGUUGAAUACAGAAGUUUCUUUUUUAUUCAUCAAUGCCCUUGUUAUUAUAACUAGUUAUAUGAUGGAAAACAAAUCAUACUUUAGUUGCUAGACUAUAAUGCUUAUAUUAUAUAGUUUGUUAUGAAUUUGAACCACAUAUCCCAAGCGAUAAACAAGUUGAUGAAGAAAAUCCCAUAUAAUCUUUACUAGUUUAGAUUCACAAUUUGACAAGAUAACAAUAUGUUAUAUUUGUUAUUGGAGUAAAUUGUAACAAUGAUCCCUCAACUUUAAUCAAAUUGGAGCAAUGGUCCCUCAACUAAAAAUCUAUUACCAUUGGUCCCUCAACUUAUCAAAAUGUGUAGCUAUAGUCAUUUUCAUCAAUUUCGUCAAAAUUUUGUCAAAAUAAGUUAUGUUGGAAUAACCAUUUAUAUAAUUAGGGUCCCUCAACUAUCAAAGUGUGUAAUUAUGGUCAUUUUCGUCAACUAGUAAAAAAUUUUGUCAAAACGAGUUAUGUUGGAAGGACCAUUGCUACAAUUAGGUUAAAGUUAAGAAAUCAUUUCUCCAGUUGAUUUAAAGUUGAGGGACCAAUGAUAAUGAAUUUUUAGUUGAGUGACCAUUGCUCCAAUUAAGUUAAAGUUAGAGGGCUAUAGCUACAAUUUGCUCUUUGUUAUUGGAUCAUAGAAGUUCAAAGAUUUUAGCAUUAACUAUCGUCUUUGUUACGACCUGAUCGAUCAGGUUGACCCAAAUAAUCAACAUGAUCAAUAGUUAAGAUUCAGGUUCUCGCAUGAAACCAGUAACUAUAUGUCAAGGAUUUGUUAUUUGGGGAACAAAGAAGUUUGAAGAUCUUAACUAGCACCAAAUGGUGAUGCAGGUAAUGAUGGAUUAGUAGGAAUGGUCUUCCCUAACACAUCAGAGGAGGUGGUGGUUAGGGUUAAGAAAGGAGAUGUGAUACCAUUACCAGUUGGAACAAUCUCAUGGUGGUUCAACAAUGUUGAUCACUCUGAGGAGCUUGUUGUUGUUUUCAUGGGUGAAACUGCCGGAGCCCACGUUCCCGGUCAAUUUUCGUACUUUUUUAUUGCCGGAACCCUAAGUAUACUUGCAGGUUUCUCAACAGAAUUUGUCAGCAAGUCCUUCAACAUCACCGAGGAUGAAGCUGAUGGCAUCACCAAAAGCCAGACUGGGGCUUUGAUCAUCAAGCUAGGUCAAGAUGAAAAAGCCAAAAUGCCCCUCCCCAAUCUAAAACUCACCGACAAAUUUGUUCACAACAUCAGUACUAGUAGUACAACUACAUUAACUGAAAAGGAAUUUCCUUUUCUUAAACAAGCUGGGUUAAGUGUUAACCUCACAAAACUUGAGGCCAACGCAAUCAGCUCUCCAAUUUACACAGCCGAUUCCAUAGUCCAAGUGAUUUAUAUUGCUCGAGGGAGUGGCCGGAUACAGAUCGUGGGUGUUAACGGUCAACGUUUGUUGGACGCGGAGGUAACUGCUGGGCAGCUGCUUGUGGUACCAACGUUCUUCAUGGUUGCUAAACUUGCAGGACAUACUGGGCUGGAGUGUUUCACUCUCAUGACUAGUUCUCAGUAAGCACAUUGCGCUGUCACAACACCACUACCUUCCUUUUAGUACCUUUUUUUUUUUCCUAAUGAAAUCAGUUCGAUACUGAAGUGCGAGUGAUUCUAUUUGGACAAACGAAAGUGAUGCAUUUGUUGACACACAUGUAAAUACAAAUGGAGCAUUAUACAUGACACGAAUACACCGCUAAUAUAGUGUCCCUUACCAAUCCUACAACAUGAAGUGUUAGUUUCUCUACACAUGACAUUAUGUAAUUGGUAUAGAAUACUACAUCAGCCGUAUAACUAUGUCAUGUAAGUCCUCAUAAUUCAUAAAAUACUAAUUGGAAUUAUAUUUGCAGGCCUGUCGUGGAAGACUUAGCUGGAAAGACAUCAACAUUGGGAGCAUUAUCACCGGAGGUGCUGCGAAUAUCCCUUAAUAUAACUCCAGAGCUAGAAAAACUUCUCAAGUCCAAGAUUCGAAAGGUCCGAUCAUGAUCAACAACCGAAUUAAUUAUUCCAAAUCAAUGCAUCGUGAUUAAUGUGGUAGUUAAAGUCCGCCGAAAAUCUUUUAUGUAAUCUUGUCUGUUAUGUUAAAAACCAGAAAAAUAAGUCACAAGACGUAAAGGUCUUUCUGGAUAUCAUUGUAUUUUUAUGCGCUUUGUGUAAUAAAAGGCCAAAAAAAAUUCGUGGUCCAUGUGGUGACACGGCAUUUUCAAUGUGACCCUUGUGGUAAAAAAACUUUUAAUUAAACUCUCGUGGUGAGCCUUGUGAGCAAUUGAGGUUCAAAUCCAAACUUCAGUUAGUCUUCCGUUAAAUAAACUCACGUGACUAUCACAUGGAUGCCCAAAUUCAUCAUUUUAAUUCAAAUUACAUCCUAUUCCAAAGACAUCUAGUAUGAGUUAGUGUUUAACGGAAAUAAGAUUUCACAUAAAAUAAGCUUGAAAUGCAAAGAGUGAAACAAAACCUGUAAAACCACACCAAUGGAUAGGAGAAGAGGUGAAAGUGAAGUUGCGCCUAAUUUCUCAGGUACGAUUUAAUUUCGUUUGGAAAUCAUAAUACUUGUAAUAAACCAUUGUUUUUUUCAAUGUCAACACGUCUUUGAUCAUGAGUUAGAGUCUUAGUCUGUCUUAAAUUUUCAUUCUUGUAUCAAUCUGUACCAGUCCAAAUGCAUAUACGCCUUUCAAUUUUGUCUUUAAUUGGUAGUGUGGUUUGAUACACACCGUAGUCAACCAGUACACAACCUUUCAAUUUUUUUCUUACUCUUCUUUGAAUUUUGGUUAUUUAAGUUUCUUACGCUCUUGAAAUUCAUAUGCGGAGGGCAGACAUGAAAAUUGAAUUUUCUGCAAUACCUUUCACCCAUUGUCUUUAAUUUUUUUUUAAUUAUGCAAUGUUUGUCACCCGUCUAAAUGCAUAAAUACUACAAUGCAUUUCCCCCCCCAUUGUCUUUAAUUCUUUAAGUUCUUCUUGUAAAUUAUCUCUCAUUUUCACUUGUUUCAAUUUGCUUUGUGCACUAGAAUCAGAUGCCAACUUUUUAACUCACAUAAAAAAAAAACAAGUGUAUGUCAUAACCCACCCAGAAAGAACUAGUGUAUACCUAAGUCAUACUAGAUGUUCAUGGAAUAGGAUGUAAUUUGAAUUGAAAUGACGUAUUUGACCGAUCCAUGUGAUAGUCGCAUGAGUUUAUUUAACGAAAGACUAAUGGAAGUUUGGAUUUGGACCUCAAUUGCUAACAAGACUCAGCACGAGGGUUUAAUUAACAAUUUUUUCACCACAAAAAUUACAUUGAAAGUGACGUGUCAUGACAGAAACCACAAAAAAAAUUUGCCCUUAAUAAAAUUUGUGUGGAUAAUGGAUCACGGAUGACAAUAAAAAAUAGAAUACAAACAGACUACUCGAUCUUCACUUUCCCAGUGGACCCAAAAAAAGAUUUCGCACUUUGUCCCUAAUAAAUAAAUCGGCUAAGGUGCUUGUACCCUAUUUUUCAAGUUUUUUACUACGCAUUUUGGCCGUGGGAUGAUAGAAAAAUAAGUCAAUUUUAAUGGUAUUUCAAGAUAUUAUUAUUUAUUUUUUGGAUCAGGAUAAUUAUCUUGAGAGAUUAUUAAAGAGUUAUCUAAGUUAGCUAUUCUGAUUGAAUAUGGUUGAGUUUACACGAGAUAAGAUUCUCUCAUCUCAUAUUUUCUCGUCAUUUUCUCCUUUCAUUUCUUAUUUAAACAGUUACAAUUAAAUCAUAUUAAUAUUUACUUUUUUAAGAGAAAAAGGACAAAAAAAAUAUGAAAAGAGAAGAGGAAAGAUGAGGGAAGAGAUAACAGAGAAUCCUACUCCUUAUCAGAAAUAGGAUUGAUCUUCGGGUUGGUGGUGAGGUGAAGUACGUAAGUGGUUCGAAAAUGACUAGCAUGUGGUAAUCUUCUAACUGUCAACCACAUGUUGAUGGGAUACAACCAUCAUGGUUUGAUAGAGCUCUUUGACGUGUGGGAUAAAUCUCCAAUAGUUUGAAAAUUACCAUAAAGCUACAUUUAAAAGAUGAAGAUUUAUGGCAUAACGAGACCAUGAGAGAUGUGGUUUGAUGGGUGUGGAAUAUCAAGAAUAUUUUGAUAUUUAUCGUGGGAGAGAUGGGUGUAGCUUGAAAAACGUCUCUACGGAUUGAUGGCCAGGAGUAUGGAAAGAACGUAGCCUAUAAAUACGAGGGACUCUGAAAUAUGAAAACUUUUCUAACUCAACAAAUAACUUAAAACACUCUACAAGAAAAUUCUCAUUCUAUAUGAAAUUCUUUUCACACCCCUAAGAAAAACACUAAGUAUCCUAACCUCUUCGUCAACACAUGUUCAAUUUGGAUAAGUAAACAGCACAUACAAUUUGGACAACAAAACACAAUUUGGAUAAGAAAACAUAAAACACAACAAUUUGGACGAGAAAACACAAUAUGGAUAAGAAAACAUAAAACACUAUUUGGAUAAGAAAACAGCAGUGGAGCAUGGUGCUCUUUGGAUAAGAAAACAGAAAACACAAUAAUUUGGACGAGAAAACACAAUAUGGAUAAGAAAACAGAAAACACAAUUUGGAUUAAAAAAAAGCAGUGGAGCAUGGUGCUCUUUGGAUAAGAAAACAGCAAUGGAGCAUAGAGCACCUUCAAUUUGGAUGCAUAGGAGCACCUUCAGUUUGGAUGAGUAUAUAAUACUACUUCUAGGGUGGUUUAUUAUCCAUCCAAGUCUCGAUCGACGAAAUUCAGAAGGUUCAUCAUUAAGCUUUUCUUCUUUUGUAUGUUCAUUUGUUUAGGUUCUUCAUUUUUCUCUCUUUCUAGCUUUAGAAUACAGCGCAACAACAAUAAACUUCUCUAUUGACACAAUCACACAAGGGAAUUUCCUUUUGCGAUAAUUGUAGUUACAAAUUGACCAUAUUGUUGACACACUCUCAAAUAGAAUGAAAUGUGAGACACACUGUCUAAACUAAAGAGUGUGACGCUAACUUCGAAUGUCUAAAUGACGUUUCUUAAUUUUUCUCUUUUUGUGUGAGUAUAAAUCUCAAUAUUUGAUUUUAGCCUAAUUUAUGGUAAAUAUUUUGUAGCUCGCACAUAAGCAUUUGGAGUAAUUUGUACGUAGCUCGGAAAUAGAGGGCUUUUUUUUUUAUUAUUAUUAUUUUUUUAUCAGAGGCAUCCAUUUAUUUUUGUUGAAGUAGAGGCUUGGCUUUAUAAUAGUAGAGAUUAUGAUCCCGCUCUCCUCUUCCCUACUUUAUCUCUUCUCGUUUGCAUCUGUUGUCUCUUUUCCCUUGCUCUUCACUUCCCCUUUUCUUUUCUUCUUACAUAUUCACUGUUCCAUUUUCAUCUCUUCCCCAAAUCGAACAAAACUGAUCAAACUGAGCUGAAUCUGAACCGAACUAGUUAUACUAUUUAAUUUUAUUUGUGAUUUUUUGGGAUGAACCAAAUCGAACCAAACCGUUCUCACCUGUAAUUAGUUAGUGUUUAAACAUGUUUAUAGGGAUUUGAAUAAAUCUGCUGACUUCAUGCUCUUUGUGAUCUCUAAAUUGUUUAGUUAAUAUUUUAGAUUUACAACUGAUAAAUAAAAAAUAAAAUAAAAUAACGCAUAUAGAUUAAGAUAAAUUUUCGUAACAAUUGAAAGUAGGUGUCAGUCAAUAUAUAUUUCCAAAUGCUUGCGUUAUGGCUGAGAGAUAAUUUAUACACACGGCAGUGAAGCAAAUAAUACAGCGUACCUAGUCCUGUUCACUUGAGGAGAUAUUUUUUCAUGUAUUCGGAACAGGAACGGUACAUCAUGUGUUAUAAGAGGCACAACCGUGAUGCAUUUGGGAACUCGAGGCGUCUGUAUCACGUACAUGGGGUUUUUUUGGGGGGGGGGGAAGCUAUAUGACAGGUCAUCUGGGAACUCAAGGCGUCUGUAUCACGUACAUGGGGGAUGGGGGGGAAGGAUUUGGAUCCUCUCCUGAGCAAGAGAUCAUGAUCCUCGAGAUCAAACAACAUGGACCGUUGGAUUUUAAUCCAACGGUUAUAAUUAUUAUAACUUUUAGAAGGACUUCCUGUUUGUAGCUAUUAGAUCAAAAUCUAACGGUCCAUGUUGUUUGAUCCCGAGGAUCCUGAUCUCCUGCUCAGGAGAGGAUCCAAAUCUGGGGGGGGGGAAACUGUAUGACGGGUCCAACAUGCUUUUGUCACGUACAUGGGGGGUGGUCGGUGGGGACUUUGAUCCAUAAAAUAUCAACCACAUCGUUCACUAGAAAGAAUUUUGACAUUGUGAGAAACAUUUUGAAUGUGUUUAUUGAUAAACUUUAUUAUGGUCCACCACAAAUAACGUCGAUAUUAUCUCAAUUUAACCAUCAAUUAUUAGAGGGUUGUUUUAUUAACACCCCAUAAUUUGUUGAAUGCACCCCACAUUUAAAAAAUUUCCCAAUAAUUCCAGUUUUACACUUCUUUUUGUUAAAUCCACCCAACCUUCCCAAAAUAAAAAAAAAAAAUCUCACAACCAACCCUAUCAAAGUAUGAAACUUCGGAUCAUCUGAACCUUUGGAGAGGCAAUAAGAGCAUUGCAUGUACCCUGUUUUCUAGGAGCUUUUUCUACAUGUUUCUAGAAAGUGUAUUAGGAGUUCAUUCAUAGCUAAUUGCUUUUGAUAAUGAUCUUGAAAUUAAAAUCAUAUCCUAUUAUCCAGGUUUCACGCUACUGCAUUAGGGUUUUGUUCUUAUUUUGUACUUUUUCUUCUGGAUAAUAUUCAUAUCCUUGCUUGGGAAUUCCUAGUUGGACUUGGUAUAGUUCUCAAAUUGAAAAUUGAUAUGAAUAUCAUGCAAAAGAAAAAGAACAAAAAUAAGUACAACGAUGAUUAUAAUGAUGUUGAGAAAAUGUAAACAGUACAAAUAAAAGGCGAGGAUCUAAACAAUGGUGAUGGACUGGGGAGUUUUAUUUUAUGCAGGUUUAAAUGAAGGGUAAAUUUGGAAUUAUAGAAGAAAAUUUUGAUUAUGGAGUGUUUUCAUCAAAUUGUGGGGUGUUAAUAAAAAAACCCUUAUUAGAUCUUGGGUUUUAUCAUUAAAGUCUUCGAUAAUAUUCGUGUAAAAAAACUCUCUUAUUAUUUAUAUUAUUUUGUUAUAUCUCCACUUCGGGACUCAAUUCUCUAACUUUUAUCGCUUUAAACAAAUUUCCAAAUAAUUUUCACAACUUGAUGCAAUGUAUAACAAUAAAAGAGAGGCCAUUUUCUAAGGAACUAGGAUUCUCUCCCCUUCCUCCCCUCCUCUUUGAACGACCACGAUUAAGCUACGUCAACAUCUUGUGUUUCCUUCUUUAUAAAGAGAGAAAUACAACGAAAAUGUGAGAGGAGGGGACAUAAGAGGAGAAAAAUUGGAAGGGGAGACAACCCUAGAUAGUUAGCUCAUUUGUUUUCACUCACGAAACUUAAAGGUGAUAUUUUCUCACAUGUUUGUAUUAUAUCUCUUUGCUUGUAGGCUUCGGUUUUCUGUGUCCAAAUAAAUUAAUUUCUCCCUUGACACAUUCACACAAGAGGAUUUCCUUUUACAUUAAUUGUACUUGCAAAAUUGAUCAUAUAAUUGACACUCUCAUAUAGAAGUGAAACGUGAGAUGUCCGUCUAAAUUAAAAAGCAUCACACAAUUUUUGAGCGUCUAAUGACAUUUCUUUUUCUUCUUUUGCAUAAUUAUAAAUUCCAAUUGAUUUUAGCCUAAUUUACUGUAAGUUUUUUUUUUUGUAGCUCGCACAUAAAUGAUUCACACAACUAGGGGUGGGUUCGGUACGGUUACCGUACCAAAACCCUUGUACCAAUUACCGUACUAAACUUUUGGUUUGGUAAAAUCUAUUACCAUUACCAUACCAAACUUUCGGUAUACCUAAGUUCGGUAUUGCCAAAAGUUUGGUUGGCAUGGUAUGACAAUGGUAAUUGCCAUUUUGUUUUGGGACAAAAUAUGUUUUUGUUUUUUUAACCCAAUUCAAGGGCAAAACUUUUUUUUUGUACCUUUAUCUCAUACAUUAUAGAUUAAAUUCAUCUAUUAUUCAUCAUUCACAAUU
Molecule: long non-coding RNA, 78874 nt
Filed under: Malus domestica (apple)
Lineage: Eukaryota; Viridiplantae; Streptophyta; Magnoliopsida; Rosales; Rosaceae
Description: long non-coding RNA (MDOM_LNC007798)
Source: RNAcentral